RNAcentral lists this long non-coding RNA (49022 nucleotides) under Zea mays. Its description in RNAcentral is "long non-coding RNA (ZMAY_LNC002971)". The record is from RNAcentral. Lineage: Eukaryota; Viridiplantae; Streptophyta; Magnoliopsida; Poales; Poaceae.
GCGAUCGUGUUCGAGAAUAAAUAAAACAUCACGCAGUUGGAUGGCACAUGCGUAAGCUGAACACAGGACAGAAGCCCUCAGAAUCAGUUUAUAAUAAUAUACAGAAACCCAUUUCUAUUCCAAGCUUCAAAUAUAUAGCUCCACACAAUAAAGCAUCAUCCUGUACAGUGAGUCUAUGGCUGCAACAGCUAGCUAGUAAUAGUCACCGGCAAUUAGUAUAGUCAUAUAAGCACUGCUGCACGAGCUACAACUACAAGCGGUGGUGGGCGCAGGAGGCAGUGCCGUCGUCGAAGUUCUGGUAGUAGCUAUGCAGGUCAUACCCGAACCUCACCGCGGUUCGCCUCGGCCGCGCCGCGCGUCUUCUCCAAGAGCGCCUCAACCUCGACAGCAGUCGCUUCACCGCCGCAGCUGGCCGGCGGCCGCCGCUCCUGGCGUGGACGAGCCGCCCGCCCAAGCCGCUGCCCCCGGUGUACGGGCCUAGCAGAGACGCCGCCGCCAUGAUCGUUCACUCGGUCGGUUCUCACAAGUCACGGACGCUCUUUGCCGCUAACCAAUUAGCUAGCUAGACGCUGUCUGCUUCGAGCUGGAGUACGUACGUAUCUGUGAAUCUGUGUGCUGCAGCUGUAGCUUCUGAAGAUACUGUGCAAAACGAAGCCUCCCAUGCCGCAGCUUUAUAAGCUCGGAUGCUGGGAGCAUUCCGACACGCGUCGAUCGAAGACGCUACUCGGACCCACCAGCAGCACGCACUCACAUACAUGGUGACGAGGCAAUCCACUACGGCGAUCGUUCGAAACGUCCAGGCAGCUUCAUUUCAUGCAUGCUUUUGUAAGCCGCCGUGGUGCUCGUGCAGUCGAAAGAAUCAAAGAAAGACAACCGUCGACCACCAACAAUGGAAGCAUGUGCACUUGCUUUAGUGACGACCUCCAUCGCCAGCUAGACUGCUAGCUAGAAGGAUGAGAGAGGUCGGCCAUGGCAACUGGCGACACGGCGGCACCUGAGCUGCUUCCUGCCCGUCCUGUGCCACUGCCGAUAAGGUCGGCGGCUUCCUGCCUGCCCUUCCUGCCGCUGGAUCAUGCCACGUGCACAAUGUGUUUCAGUUGCCUGUGGCGUGGGCGUGGCCGACCUAAUCGACAUGCAUGCGGCCGAGGUUGGCGGGAACUCUCGGCACCCCGUCAGAUCGAGACUAGGAAUAGCUAGAGUGUAUUGCUGACGCUGAAUCAUAAUAAUAACAACUGGUUAUAUUAAUAACCUAGAGUAUUAUUGGAAAGAGCACUCCAAGCCACUCACCAAAUUGGAUAAUAUAAUAAUAAUAAUAACUGGUUAUUACUAUGUAUUUUUGGAUAGCCUUAUCCUUGUACCGAAGAUGACUAAAGCUUAGGACGUGGACAUUUCUUUUACAGCUGGAAUAUGCAAGUAUGCUCUUCGAUCUGAUAUCUCCAAAAAGGAAGAGAAAAGAUGUCGUCGAGCUGAGUUAUCAUCAAUGAAUUUCCACAUCCUAAGGAAAGGGAAAUGGAACACACUAGUAGUGUUACGCUAGAGUGAAAAUCUACAGAAAAGGCGGAGAGCCUUUUUUUAGGGAAUUGCGAAGCUUCUAUUUUGGAAAUAUCACAAAAAUGUAUGGUCAGCGAAUGGCGGUCGUGGAAUGGCAGUGUAUCACUACCGAAAUAUUGAUCUUUACCAAGUGCUCGGUAUUUUACCGAGUAUUUUUUCUCAGGCACUCGGCAAAUAAGUCUUUGUCGAGUGCCGUAUACGACAAAGUUCUGCUCUCGGUAACGACCACGUUUACCGAGAGCAGUAGUCUCGACACACGAAAACACUUGACGAGGUCGACGCUUGGUAAAGGGCCAUCGUCAGCCAUCUACAGCUGACGACCGUUAUCUUUGCCGAGUGCCGACACUCGACAGGCCAUUCUGUGCCGAGUGUCGUAAGAUGGCACUCGACAAAGUAUAUUUUUCUUUUUUUUCUUUUUUCAACAAACCUUUUGUGGUAUGUUCCUACACUAUGUAGACUUACAUGUUCCAUUUUGGCAUAAUUAUAAAAGUGUUUGCUGGAACUAUUAGAUUUUGUUCUUUUAAUUGAAUUUACUCGGAUAAUUCAGAUUUGAACUACAAGUCACUCGAAAAAUAGAAAACCGUGAAUGCAAAAAAUGAUAUCCAUGUUAGAUAACACAAUUUACGACUGAUUUCAGGAGCAGACUGGAAUUUUCGAGCACUAUCCUCACUAAACAUGACCGUGAACUUGCCAUCAAGUUAUUUAAAAAUUAUAUAAAACACAAACAAAGUCAGAAAAUCAUGAAACUUGUCCACAUGUCAUGAUAUCAUAUGUAGAGGCUGUGAUAAAAAUUUGAGAAUGUUUCAAGAAAGUUGUGACGUACUAUAUGUAGAAACCUAGCCGGUCUACAUUAAAACUCUAUGAUUUUAUGUGUAGGCCACUUAGGUUUCUACACAUAGUGCGUCACAACUUUCUCGAAAUAUUCUCAAUUUUUUAUCACUGCCUCUACAUAUGAUAUCAUGACAUGUGGACAAGUUUCAUGAUUUUCUGACUUUGUUUGUGUUUUAUACAAUUCUUAAACAACUUGAUGGCAAGUUCACGGUCUUGUUUAGUGAGGAUGGUGCACGAAAAUUCCAGUCUGCUCCUAAAAUCAGUCGUAACUUGUAUUAUCUAACAUGGAUAUCAUUUUUGCAUUCACGGUUUCCAUUUUUCGAGUGACUUGCAAUCCAAAUCUAAAUUAUCCGAGUAAAUUCAAUUAAAAGAACAAAAUCUAAUAGUUAUAGCAAACACUUUUAUAAUUGUGCCAAAAUUGAACAUGUAAGCCUACAUAGUGUAGGAACAUACCACAAAAGGUUUGGUUGGCAAAAGAAAAAAAUGAAAAUAUACUUUACAAAGUGCCCAAGAUAGGCACUCGGCAAAGUAUUAUUUGUCGAGUGCCCAUCUUGAGCACUCGGCAAAGUAUAUACUUUGUCGAGUGUCAGGCGACCGGCACUCGGUGAAGUGAUCUCUUUGCCGAGUGCCAACGCCCGACACUCGGCAAAGUGCAUUUUUAGAUUAAAAAAAACCUUUGUUGAGUGUCAGAUCGCUUACGCUCGGCAAAGUGUAUUUUUAAAUUAAAAAAAUCUUUGCCGAGUGCCAGAUCGCGGGCACUCAGCAAAGAACAUAUACUAAGCCAGAGUCUGGGCCCAUGACUCCAUUAUUUGUUGUCGCGCCACCGUUAGCCCCGCCGCGCCGCUCGUCGUGCCUCUCGCUCCACCGCCCGCGCUCGCCCCGUUGCCCGCGCUAGUGCCGUUCGCCGCACCGCCCGCUCGAGGUCACCCGCGCGCCGCCGCCUCUGCCCGACCGCACCUGCUUCGUCCAUCCCCGCGUGCUGGUUGGUUAUGGCCAUCCCCGUCUAUCAGACCCCCGCUUCGGUUAACACACCGCCACCAGCAAAGGUAAAGACUUUACGCAACCGCUAAGUGUCGAUUCAUUAAUCAUUUCAAUUAUGCUUACAAUGUAGUUAUGAUUGCCUAAGUGUCGAUUCAUAAGCCACACUAGUUGUAGUUAUGAUUGGCUAAGUGUCGAGGCCUUGAUGUCUAUGUGUGUAUCAGCCAUCGUGCUGGUACUUUUGUUUGCAGGUUUUUGGAAAGCUCCCCGUGUGGGGAGGUGCUGCCAUUUUUUUAACGGACUUGUGUUAAUCUUUAGAGUAUAAUCGGUUAUAUAUGUUAGAGUAUGGAGGACCGUGAGUGGAUGUACACGGGUCAUGUAGGAAGGAAUGAUGUCACCCUCGAAUGGAUUAGAAAGACCGAUGCUUUCGUGGAACAGGCAUUUGACGAAGCUGCUAAAGGAGCAAGUCUAGUCCCAUGCUUGUGCAGCAAAUGUGCCAACCGGAAAAGAAAAUCAAAGAAGGCCAUGGUAGAACAUAUUUGGAAGAAUGGAUUUACACCGGACUAUACUCGAUGGAUCUUCCAUGGUGAAGCGCACGUACGAGAGAGGAGGUGGUGAGACAAUGCGUCGAGGAUUAUGAUGCUGAUGCGGGGUAGCAGAUAUGUUGAACGACUAUCACGAGGCAUAAUUCGUCGGAGGAUGUAUGGAGGACGAGCUAGAGCCGACCGCAAAGGCGUUGUACGACAUGUUUGACGCGGCACAGAAGCCCCUUCACGUCAAGACAAAGGUUUCUCAACUGGAUGCCAUUGGGCGUGUAAUAGUGUUCAAGUCGUAGUACAACAUGAGUCGAGACGCAUUCGAUGGCUUGUUGACAGUUAUUGGCAGCCUGCGAGGAUCACGUUCUGCCAAAGAGCAUGUACGAGGCACAAAAACUCCUUCGUGCACUCAAGAUGAUGUAUGAGCAGAUAUAUGCUUGUCUGAAGGGCUGCGUGCUAUUUAGGAAAGAAUAUGCGGAGGCAAAGUACUGUUCGAAGUGUAAAUCGUAUAGGUUCAUGGAGGUAGACUCUGGUGAUGGAUAGAAGAGGUAGCUCGACAUCCCGGUGACAAUCCUACGCUGCCUUCUGUUCAUACCGAGGAUCCAGCGUCUAUACAUGAUUGAGGAAUCCACGAAACAGAUGACAUGGCACAAAAAUGGCAAAUUAUGCAAUCCUGACAAGAUGGUGACGUAUCCGAUGGUGAAGCAUGGAAACACUUUGAUGCCAUUCACCAUGAGAAAGCCAAAAAGGCUCGUAAUUUAUGUGUUGCGCUGGCCACAUAUGGGUUCAAUCCCUAUGGAAUGAGCGCUGCACCGUACACAUGUUGGCCCGUGUUUGCUAUCCCAAUCAAUGUUCCCCCCGGUGUAUGCUUUCAAAGGCAGAAUAUAUUUAUGUCGUUGAUAAUUCCCGGACACCCGGGGAAUAAAAUGGGCAUGUACAUGGAGCCUUUGAUUGAUGAAUUGGUACGUGCUUGGGAGGAAGGGGUAUGGACGUAUGACCGAGCUACGAAGACAAACUUCAAAAUGCAUGUUUGGUACCAGUACUCCAUGCAUGACUUACCGGCGUAUGGGCUAUUCUGCGCCUGGUGUGUUCACGGUAAUUUCCCAUGCAUGCCCAGUUUGCAAGGAAGCUCUUAGGGUCGUUUGGUUGAAGAAGGGUGGCAAAUAUUCGUCGUUCGAUAGACAUCGACAAUUUAUCUCUCCUAAUCAUCCAUUCUGCCUAGACAUCAAGAACUUUACGAAAGGUGUCGUAGUGAUAGAUCGCCCACCUGCAACGAUGACUGGUGCCAAAAUUUGUCAAGGGAUAGAUGGGCUCGUGGCCAAUCUAGAAGGUGGUUUUGUGGGAUAUGGUGAGCAGCAUAUGUGGACGCAUAAGUCGGGCUUGACUCGGCUCCCCUAUUAUGACGACCUGCUCCUUCCACACAACAUUGACGUGAUGCACACUGAAAAGAAUGUUGCCGAGGCACUUUGGGCAACAAUUAUGGACAUUCCUGAUAAGUCAAAGGAUAACGUAAAGGCAAUAGUGGAUCUGGCAGUGUUAUGUGAUAGACCAAACCAAGAGAUGAAGCCGCCUAGUGGUGGAAAGACAUGGAGAAGGACUAAGGCCGAUUUCGUCCUAAGCAGGGCCCAGAGGAAGGAAGUACUUCAGUAGAUCAAGAUGUUGAUCUUCCCUGAUGGGUAUGCAGCUAACCUGAGUAGGGGGUGAACUUAUCUACUCUACGAGUCUUAGGGAUAAAGAGUCAUGACUUCCACAUAUGGAUUGAACGGAUUCUUCCUACGAUGGUUCGAGGCUAUGUCCCUGAGCAUGUCUGGCUAGCACUUACAGAGUUGAGCUAUUUCUUCUGCCAGCUUUGUGCAAAAGAGUUAUCUCGGACCGUGAUUGCAGAGUUGGAAAGAUUGACACCCGUGUUACUGUGUACGCUUGAGAAGAUAUUUUCACCCGGCUUCUUCAAUCCAAUGCAGCCUAUCCUCAAUAGCUUCAAUGUACAUUUGCAGCAGUGAACCGAAAUCUAUCUCAUUUAACCUUUGUUUUAACCUAUCUGGCAUCAUAAAUGCUGCAUUGUUCAAAGCAGCAGGAAAAUAUCGCAUUAUAAUGUAGAACCCGUGCAUCUCCUUAUCCUCCUUCAAAUCUUCGUGUCACUUAAUUGGAGUUUGGUCUUUGGAAGCUUCACUGGUCGUCUGUCGUUUAGACGAUUUCUCCCUCAUAGGCCUCUAAACAUGGGGUGUUGGGGACCCUACAUCUGAAUCAUUUGCGCUUAAAACAUAAACUAUGGGCAUUUUUUCAACCUCCGGUUGAGCCACACCUAGGGCAUCAUAUUCGGGAUUUUCUUCACCAUUGCGUGGAGUAUCUGAAUAUGUGUGCUUAGUAGGUGUAGACAUUGUCUACGACCGUGUAACAUAAAAAUAAUUCAGAUAAAAAAUAUCUAUAACAUAUAUUACUUACUGCUCAAUGUUGUUACUGAAUACUAUACAUAUUACUUAUGCUUGUAGGUUUAAAUUGUUACUAAUUGUCCAAAAUAUUACUAUACAUUCGAUUGGGAUUGAUAAUUAUAACUAAUUCUAUUCAUUUAUUAACGAGUAAUGUAUUACUGGCUCUAGAUGCACAUACUAUAUCUAACACAAAAUCUUAUUACUAUUAUGAAAACACAUAUUCUAGAUGACAAAAAAUUUCCUUACCGUUUAGAAUACAUAAUACUGAAAAUUAUUACCGAUUAGAAUACAUAUUACUAAUACUAAUUUCUUAAUUACUACUCACUAAGUAAUAACAACAUAAUGCUUAUCUAAAAAUUAUUGCUAAUCCUAUGCGGUAGUUACUGACAAUAUGUAUUUAUUACUGGUAUUAAAGCAGUAAUGUACUGAUUAUAAGAUAAAACCAACACAGAACUGUCAUUGAAAAUAUAUUAUAAUGUUACUGAUGCUAACAUAUAAACAAAAAGCAGCGUAUCUCAACUCAUCCAGGUUUUCAAAAAAAGGAGUGAUGCAGAGUAGGAUUCACUUGAAAAACAUGUGUGCAUGAUGCAACACUAACUUGAGCAUAAAUGUGCUAGAGAAAACUGCAGGAAAAAUUGAAGUAAAACCCGUCCAAGGAGCGAAUUGCAGAAACCCCUCCGUUGCGGCUGCUAAUCUUCACAAAUCUGGAACCACGUCGCCCCAGAUUUUCGCUCGUUUUGACCAAAUAUGGUACCCUAGCAAAAAAACAUGAUGAAUCUCCCCUACGCCACGACGAUUCUGACCGACGAUUGCGAGCACUUGGAAGGCAAUUUCAAAAACAAGGGAACCCAUGGAAAAAGUGACGGUGGAAAGAUAGUAGAUGUUUCGAUGGGUCCUUGCGGUCGUAUAUGUUUAGCUCGGUGUGGUCGGACUCGGUCGGUGCGGUGGGACACGGUCGGACGAGGUCGGUGUGGUCAAGUGAUGCUUCACUUGAGGUGAUGUAUAUAUAUAUAUAUACAUAUAUAUAGUUUGUAUAUUUAGAGCUCUGACCUUCCAAUAACUAGAGGAAACACUGGUCUAAACGGUGCCAUCCGGUUCAGCCGCACCAGGUUCAGACGGCUACAAAAAAGACCCCCAGACCGCCAGGGAUUAGGUUUUAGCGGGGGUGGCAGUUCCCUCGGGUGAGUGAGCGACGGUGGCGAUUUCCUCGGGUGUGCGAGCGGCGGCGAUCCCGGGGGCUUGCGACGGUGGCGCGCCGAGGCGGGCGACUGGCGGCAACACUCCUAAGGCGGGCGGGCAAGCACCUACGGCGCUCCUGAAACGGACAAGCGGCGGCGGCGCACCCUAGGCCCGGUGGUGACUGCGGUUGCGUGAGGCGCGAUAGGCUUCAAUAGCAGCGGCGGCGGAUCUUGGAGGAGCGCACGCGGCGGUCGAGGCCAGGGGCGCCCACACGAUGUCGGCUCCUCGAAGGCGCGCGCCCCUGAGUGGCGCCCGCUGGCGUCCCCCCUCCCGCGAUGACGCCGGCCUUCCCUAGGCGCGAGCGACGACGACAGACUUCCCUAGGCGACGAGCGGUGGCGAAUCGAUGUCCUUGUUUUUAUGCUAUUAUAUAUAUAUAUAUAUUUAUGCCAACGUCAAUAGAUUUUUAUGAUACAUUUUCAGUUCAUGGCUCUCAUUUCAUCUUUUGUAUGUUUAUGAUAUUUCUAUUCACAUUUUAUGUAAACGUUUGUUGAUUUUUGCAUAGUGUACUAUAAUGUAUAAAUACCUUCGUCAUGCAGUUAAUUAGUAUCAGUAUAAAUCAUAAAUUGGUUACAACGAGCCUAACUGUAUGGCUGUUGGAGAGAUCAUAUAUUUAUGGACGAAAUAAAACAUUGAAAAUCAGAUUUUUGUUUUCAUGCGUGCUAAUCCAUUUUCUUUCGACUCACAUUUUUGUCAUCCUAAAUUUGUACACAUGCAAUAGUAAACAUAUUUUGUAUACAGUGUACCGCAUUGCAUAAAUACCUUCGACGUGUAACAUAAUUAGUCUCAGCGUAUAUCAUAAACUGGUUCUAAUGAGCAUAGAUGCAUGGCUGUUGGAGAGAUCCUAUAUUUAUGGAGAAAAUUAAUCAUUUAAAUCAGAUUUUUUUCCAUGCAUGUCAAUCUAUUUUCUUUUAACGCACAUUCUUGUCAUCCUAAAUUUGUGCGCAUGCAGCAGGAAACAUAUUUUUUCGCGCUGUACAGCAGUGCAUAAAUAUCUAUACCGUGUAGCAUAAUUAGUGUCAGUAUAUGUUAUAAAUGAUUCCAACGAUCCUACCUGCAUGACUGUUGUCAAGAUCCUACUUUUAUGGACGAAAUAAAGUAUUUAAAUCAGAUUUUUUUCAUGCAUGACAAUUUAUUUCCUUUCAACCCACAUUCUUAAUAUCCUAAAUUUGUGCGCAUGCAGAAGGAAACAAAUUUUUUGCGCGGUGUACCACACUUCAUAAAUAUCUACACAGUGUAGCAUAAUUAGUAUCAGUAUAUGUCAUAAACUAGUUCCAACGAGCCUAACUGCAUUAUAUUGCUGUUGUAGAGAUCCUAUUUUUAUGGACAAAAUAAACAUUAAAAUCGGUUUUUUUGUUUUCAUGCAUGCCAAUCUAUUUUCCCUCUAAACACACAUUAUUGACAUCCUAAAUUUGCGCCCAUGCAGCAGGAAAGUGAUUUUUUACGCAGCGUACAUUAUUGCAUAAAUGCCUACACGGUGUAGCAUAGUUAGUAGCAGUAUAUUUCAUAAAAUGUUUCUAAUGAGUCUAGCUGCAUAGCUGUUAUAGAGAUCCUAUAUUUAUGAAAGGAAUAAAUCAUUCAAAUUAGAUUUUUUGUUUCCAUGCAUACAACAGUUAACACAUAGACUUCCUAAUUAUUCACGCUUGUAAAUGUAAACAAACUGCCCGCAUGUAAGGAAUGAAUGCAUACGAGAAGUGGGUGGUGGCCAGGAUGCGGUGGUGCUUGGCUGGCUAGGGCUUCAUGUGUGCUAGGGCUUAGAUUUUAAACUUAGCAAUUUUUCAUAUAUAUAUAUAUAUAUAUAUAUAUAUAUAUAUAUAUAUAUAUAUAUAUAUGAAAAAUAGCUAAGUUUAAAAAGCGAUAGUGGCAAAAUAUUUUCACUAGCGUUUGUUAUAAGAGAACCAACUGUAGAAAUUUAUUUCACUAGUACAAAUAAGCUCAAAGCCUGCGGCACGUUCAACUUUUCACUGGCGGUUUCCGUUAUCAAACGUCAGUGAAAGAAACAGGUGGGCCCGGCUUUAAAAACCGCCAGUGGAAACCUAUUUCCACUGGCGGUUAUCUUAACACAACCGCCAGUGGAAAUAGGAUGUUUCCACUGGCGGUUGUGUUACACAAACCGCCAGUGAAAAUUGAUUUCCACUGGCGGUUAUCUUAAGAUAACCGCCAGUGGAAACAUCCUAUUUCCACUGGCGGUUUUUAAAGACAACCGCCAGUGGAAAUCAAUUUUCACUGGCGGUUUUUAAAGACAACCGCCAGUGAAGUGUCUGUUAUAAAUGCCCCUCUUCCCCCGACAGUGAACUGUAUGCUCGCAGCCAACUUCCAUUGGAGGCGAUUUUGGAGGUCCAGAAUUCACAAAAUACAUGGGGAGAGGUUUUGAUCUUCAUUUUUUGGAAGAAGAUUGCUAAGAAAGGUUGGUUUAUGUUGCUAAUGUCAAUUUUUAUUCAUUUUUGCUCAAUUUUAGCCACAUUUUGGAUCUAGGGUUUCACCAUUGGAGAGAGAGUGUAUCCUCUCUCAAUUUUAGCCACAUUUUAGCCACAUUUUUGCUCUAUUCGCUCAAAUAAAGUUGUUUAAUAUGGUUAGAUUUUGUCUAUCCUCUCUCCUUUUUCAUGUUUAGUUCUCAAAUCAGUUUAUCCAUGACAUAUUAAGUUGUUUAAUGAAUGGUUCAUGUGUUGUGUGGAGAGAGAAGAAGAUAGGUUUGAUAAUUAAGAUUGUUUUUAUUAGUUGCUAUGAAAGUUGGUUUAAUUAUGUUUUAAUUGCCAAUUAUUGUUUAUCUUUGCUCAAUUUUGGAACUAGGCCUUCACCAUGUGUUAAAGAGAAGAGUAUGGCUAGGAAAGUUUAGUUUUAUGUUCCUCUUGCCAAUUUUUGUUCAUUUUCCUUAAAUUUAGCCACAUUUUGGAUAUAGGGUUUCACCCCUUCAUCCUUCCCAACAGGUGGUGAUGGAGAGGACAUCCUGGAUGUAUAACUUAUCAAGGCUAGAUCCAUCAUACAUAUCCGAGGUCCAUAAGUUUAUUGAUGUCGCUACGAACCAUGCUUGGAGAACAAAGACAAAACACAUAUAUUGUCCAUGCAUGGACUGCAAAAAUGCUGCUGUAUUUAAUGACACAGAACAAAUCAUAUCUCAUCUGGUAUGCCGAGGAUUUAUGAAGGAUUACACAAUUUGGACAAAACAUGGAGAGGGUACCAGCUCUUCGCCUUAUACGACUGGAAACCCUGAGAACAUCGACGACAGAUUUCAGUUCGUUCACGAGACACACCAACCUCUUCCACAGAGCGAACAUGUAGUGCAAAAUGUUACUGAUCAUGGUUACGCUCGAGGAAAUGAACAUGAUAGACCUCAUGUUCUGCCAAGUGUUAUGGAUGAGGAAGAUGCAGAGUUGCUAGAGGCAAUGUUGCGUCGUCAUACAGAUCAAUCGAUGUUCUUAAUGAAAGGUAUGGAGUCCCUGAAGAAGGCAGCAGAAGAGCCUUUGUACGACGAGUCUAAGGGUUGUACCAAAGAGUUCACGACGCUCCGGUCUGUGCUAAAGCUGUUGAUGUUAAAAGCUAAAUAUGGUGUGUCUGAUGCUGGCUUCGAUGCGUUCUUGAGUAUUAUCGCAGACAUGCUUCCAAAGGAGAACAAUGUGCCUGCUAACACGUACUAUGCAAAGAAACUAAUCAGUCCGCUCACUAUGGGUGUGGAGAAGAUCCACGCGUGUAGAAAUCACUGUAUCCUUUAUCGAGGUGAUGAUUAUAAAGACUUGGAGAGCUGCCCAAAGUGCGGUGCAAGUAGGUACAAGACGAAUAAAGACUAUCGAGAGGACGAAGAGUGUGUUGCAUCCGUGUCUAAAGGGAAGAAGCGAAAGAAAGCCCAAAAAAAGACUUCAAAAUCCACGAGCAAAGAAAAAGAAGUAGACUAUUAUGCGCUCAAAAAGAUUCCUGCUUUGGUGAUGUGGUACCUCCCCGUCGUCGAUCGAUUGAGGUGUUUGUUCGCUAAUCCUGAGGAUGCCAGACUUAUGAGCUGGCAUGCUUCUGAUGAGCACAAAAACGAUGGGAAGCUUCGACAUCCAGCCGAUGGGAAGCAGUGGCAAGAUUUCAAUGACAACCACCGAGACUUUGCCGAUGAACCGAGAAAUGUUAGGUUCGCACUGAGUACUGAUGGAAUGAACCCAUUUGCUGAGAGGAGCAGCAAGCAUAGCACAUGGCCGGUGAUCCUCACCAUAUACAACCUUCCUCCAUGGUUGAUGCAGAAACGGAAGUACAUUUUGCUAACCAUCCUUAUUUCUGGACCUACACAACCUGGAGUUGACAUGGAUGUAUUUUUGGAGCCCUUAAUGGAGGAUAUGAAAAUAUUGUGGGAAACAGGUGUUCAAAUGUUGGAUGAGUAUCGUAAAGGUUCAUUCACGCUGAGAGCAAUUCUUUUUGUUACGAUCAACGAUUACCCUGCUCUCUUCACAUUAUCAGGCCAGUUUAAGGGAAAGGUUGGUUGCACAGUAUGCAUUGAUGGAACUGCUUACGUAUCCCUUGCUGCAUCUAGGAAGAUAGUUUACAUGAGGCACAGACGCUUUUUAUUGGAAGGACACAGGUACCGCAUGCGAAAGAUGGAUAAGUACUUCGACAAUAAUGGUGAACUACAUUCUACUGCUCCAUCGGGUAACAAUAGAGGUCAUAGAGUUUUUGAAAUAGUCAGGAAUAUCAAGUUUGUUUUCGGGAAGAAGACAAAAGACGGAAAAACAAGGAAGGAUGUCAAACCAGCUUCGGGGGCUAUAUUCAAGAAGAAGUCUAUUUUCUUCGAGUACUUGCCUUACUGGAAAGAGUUAGAUGUGCGGCAUGCGAUCGAUGGUAUGCACGUUCAGAAGAACGUGUUUGAAAGCAUAAUGGGCACCUUGCUAGACAUAAAGGGCAAAACAAAAGAAGGGCUCAAUUCACGCAUGGACUUGGUAGAUUUAGGCAUAAAAAAGGAACUACAUCCCGUUCUUCAAGAAAAUGGGAAGUACCAUCUCCCAGCAGCAAGCUACAAUCUCAAUGUAGAUGAGAAACAUGCGAUGUGUGUUUGGCUUAAGAAUUUGAAAGUCCCAUCCGGAUUCUGCUCUAGCAUACGGAGUAUUGUGUCAAUGAAAGACCUGACAAUCACCAACUACAACUCACAUGAUUGCCAUGUCAUGCUGACUACAUUUCUACCUAUUGCCAUCAGGGCUAUAAAUCCUUUGUUUUUAAAGAUGGCAAUCACACGGUUGUGCUACUUUUUCAACAGGAUUUCACAAAAGGUAAUUGGCCGUGAUGAGUUGGCAUCUCUUCAGGAAUUCGCAGUGGAGACAAUAUCACAGUUUGAGAUGUGUUUCCCUCCAUCGUUCUUUGAUAUUAUGGUGCACCUUGUGGUGCACUUGGUGCCACAAAUAGAGGCAUUGGGUCCUAUGUACUUGCAUGAAAUGUGGACGUAUGAGCGUUUCAUGUCAAUACUGAAUGGCUAUGUAUCAACCCGUGCUCGUCCCGAGGCAUCCAUGAUAGAGGGGUACUGUACCGAAGAGGCCAUUGAGUCCGGAGGUCCAUUCUGCAAUAGUAUCCUAAAAGACCAGGUUGCAAUAGGUCUGCCUCCGUCACGACACGAGGGUAGACUGUAUGGAAGCGGGAGGAUGGGACGGAAAUCUUUCAUCCCACCGGAUUACGAUAUAGUACUUGAGGCACAUCAGAGCAUCCUACAUCAGCUAACGAUAAUGGAGCCAUUUAUCCAACAACACAUCAAUGAGCUUCGCGAGCAAAAUCCUGGGCAUACGGAUGAUUGGGUAAUGAAGCAACAUAAGCAGCGAUUCAACACAUGGCUAAUGGUGAAGGACAUUCCACGUGGAGAAACAAUAGAAGAACAAACCAUCAAGGGCUUGGCAUCUGGACCAUCACGCCAGGUCACAACAUGGCAAACCUAUGACAUUAGUGGAUUCACAUUUUGUACCAAGUCCAAGGACAAAAAGAGCAUGUCACAAAACAGUGGUGUUCGAUGCGAGGCCAUAGAUGAUGAAACUGGUGAGAUUAUAACAUAUUUUGGCUUUAUUGAGGACAUAUGGGAACUAGACUAUGGUACAUUUCAGAUCUCGGUUUUCCGAUGUCAAUGGGUUGAAGACAAACAUGUCACGGUAGACAACUAUGGGGUCAGAGUUCUUGAUCUAAGUAAGGUAGGUUACAAAGAUGACCCAUGGAUCCUUGCUAAUCGUGCUGCACAGGUCUUCUAUGCUGAACAGAUCAUUUCUAACAAUGAGAAGAAAAGCACCGACAAACCGAAGCAUGUAGUUUUUCCUGGAAAACAACAAGCUAUAGGAGUUGAUGGUGUAUCUGAUUUAGAGAAUUUUAACCAGUUCAACGACAUGUCUCUUUUCAUAGACCAUCCAACCAAGAUAAGGAACGUUGAGCGAAGCAUCCCACGCAAUUCGUUGCCCUGGGUACGCCACGAUGGACAAGGCAGAACAAUAGCUUCCUAGAUUAUAUACUUGUCAUGUAAUUGAUUAUUGUUAGGAACUUGUCAUGUAAUUGAUUAUUGUUAGCGACAAACCGAAGCAUGUAAUUGUCUUCAUUCAAUUUUCGUGGCUACCAUUUACAAUUUUACAUGACUUUCUAUUGACUUUAUAGAGAGAGAGGAGAGGGAGAGAGAGAGGAGAGAGAGGAGAGGGAGAGGAGAGAGAGGAUGGAGAGAGAGGAGAGAGAUAGGAUGGAGAGAGAGGAGAGAGAGAGGGGAUGGAGAGAGAGGAUGGAGAGGGAGAGGGGAGAGAGAGUGGAGAGGAGAGAGAGGAUGGAAAGAGAGGAGAGGAUGGAAAAAGUAAAACAAUAUAUAAAAGUAUACUUAAUAUAAUAUAUAAAAAGUGAAGUAAAACAAUAUAUAAAAAACUAUGUUAAAUAAUAAUAAAAAACAAUUUCUACUGGCGGCUGUCAUAGAGAACCGCCAGUAGAAAUGGUUUCCACAGACUGUAGAAUCCAUUUCUACUGGCGGUUCUCUAUGACAACCGCCAGUAGAAAUGGUUUCUACUGGCGGUUCUCGUUGUCAACCGCCAGUAGAAAUGGCUUCUACAGUCUGUGGAAACCAUUUCUACUGGCGGUUCUCGUUAUCAACCGCCAGUAGAAAUGGCGCCUAUAUAAAGGUGGCGCGCGGGAGCCGAAAAUUUUACAAGUCCCUGGCGCCCUUUCACUUGAAGACGACGCCGUCAGGCUGCUGGAUUUCGACCCCGACGGUUUUCGCCGGCGAUCGUCCCCGCGCCCGUCCCCACGCCGCCAUUCCCGCCCCCGCACCGCCGUCUGCAGGUUUUUUCUCUUUCCCCUAAUCUGUACCGCCGCCGUCUACUACCGCGCCGGGCCGCCGCCGCCGCCGCCGCGUUUUAGUAAAACCUAGGGCACGCGCCGCCGCCGAGAGGGAGGAAGAGAGAUGAAGGAGAGGGAGAGGGAAGAGAGAGGAGGGAGAGGGAGAGGGAGGAGAGAGGAGGGCGCACGCGCCGCCCGCCGCCGAGAGGGAGGAAGAGAGAGGAAGAGAGAGGGAGAGAGAUAGAGGGAGGGAGAGGAGGGUGAGAGAGAGAGAGAGGAAUUUUAUACAUUGUAAUUUUAUGUGUUCAAAUGUAUGUUGAAUUCAUAUGUGUUCAAAUGUAUGUUGAAUUCAUAUGUGUUCAAAUGUAUGUUGAAAUGUAUGUUGAAAUGUAUGGUGAGAGAGAUAGAGGGAGGGAGAGGAGGGUGAGAGAGGGAGAGGAGGGUGAGAGAGAGAGAGGAAUUUUAUACAUUGUAAUUUUAUGUGUUCAAAUGUAUGUUGAAUUCAUAUGUGUUCAAAUGUAUGUUGAAAUGUAUGUUGAAAUGUAUGGUGAGAGAGAUAGAGGGAGGGAGAGGAGGGUGAGAGAGGGAGAGGAGGGUGAGAGAGAGAGAGGAAUUUUAUACAUUGUAAUUUUAUGUGUUCAAAUGUAUGUUGAAUUCAUAUGUGUUCAAAUGUAUGUUGAAUAUAUACAUUGUAAUUUUAUCCGUCACAACUCGAUAAUAUACGUAUCCGAUCCGAAUUCGAUCUGAACUCGAUAAUUUCCGUACGACUCUCCCUCUCUCCCUCUCUAUACGUCCUAUGCGACUCUCCCUCUCUCCCUCUCCUCGUCCUAUACGACUCUCCCUCUCUCUAUACGUCCUAUGCGACUCUCUCCCCGUCCUACACGAUACUAUACGACUAUACGAUACUAUAUGGUUAGGGUUUAGGGUUAUGGUUAGGGUUAAGGUUAGGGUUAAGGGUUAUAGUUAGGGUUAGGGUUAGGGUUAGGGUUAGGGUUAGGGUUAGGGUUUUGGGUCAGGGUUAGAGUUAGGGUUAGGGUUAGGGUUAGGGUUUUGGGUCAGGGUUAGAGUUAGGGUUAGGGUUAAGGGUUCGGGUUUUGGGUUAGGGUUAGGGUUUUGGGUUAGGGUUAGGGUUAAGGGUUUAGGGUUAGGGUUAGGGUUAGGGUUAGGGUCAGGGUUAGAGUUAGGGUUAGGGUUAGGGUUAGGGUUAAGGGUUCGGGUUUUGGGUUAAGGUUUCGGGUUUUGGGUUAGGGUUAGGGUUAAGGGUUUAGGGUUAGGGUUAGGGUUAGGGUUAGGGUUAAGGGUUCGGGUUAGGGUUAAGGGUUCGGGUUUUGGGUUAAGGGUUCGGGUUUUGGGUUAGGGUUAGGGUUAGGGUUAGGGUUUUGGGUUAGGGUUAGGGUUAGGGUUAGGGUUAGGGUUUUGGGUUAGGGUUAGGGUUAGGGUUAAGGGUUUAGUGCCCGCGAGGAUGUAUUUAAUUAUACUAUUUGUUAAUAUGAAUUUAAUUAUUGCUUACGUUAAUAUGUGUUAAUAUGUAUUUAAUUAUUGCUUAUGUAUUUGUAUAUAUAUAGCUCAAUGAGUUCUCCGAUCAAGGACCAAGGAUUAGUGCCCGAGCACAUGGACAAGAGUGUUGCUCAAGAACAAUCCAGCAGUGAAGGAUAUGAAACGCCUAGCGACCCUUUUCCUACCACUAGCAUAGAUAGGGCCGCUCUCCGUGAGUUGCAACGUGACCCUACUUAUGAUCCACGAGAAGCUGAGGUAAAAGUACGCAUCUUUAGCUUCGUAUGUGUACCCUACUGAUUUCACAUGCAUGAUCUCUUGUGCAUUUUAUUACAUGAAUAGGAGGUCGUGUCUGAAUUUCGUGCGAUACUCGAAGAAGCCGUGGCACGAUACGAAGACGUACCGGAGCCGACCCAAGACGCACCGGAACAGACCAAGACAACAACCGAGACAUCAAGGAAAAGGAAGCAGAGCGAUCGAAAAAGAGGUGACAGGGGGCUGAACAAAUUUCCCGACAAAACAUACAAAAUCUCAGACGUGAGCCCGAAAGGUCAGCCCCUAGCUCCAGAAGAGGCACUACCUAAGUUUCGGAAUGCACUUGGGUUUUUAGUUAGAGAUAAUCUUGACAUAACAAUACGACAGUGGAGAGAUGUGUCAGAUGAUGUCAAGAAUCAAAUAUGGAAUAAGCUAUUAAUGAGGUUCGUUCUGCCUCGGGGUUCAGAAGAACUCGUGAAGGAAUACACGAUGAAGCAGCUUGCAAUAAAUUUCCGAAACUGGAGGUCUGAGAUGAACACAAAGUUUGCAAAGAAAGGUCUGGACCCGACCAAAAAAUAUAAAAUCUCAGCAGGUCAGUGGGCAGUAUUUCUAGAGCAGAGGAGCAGCCCUGAUUUCAUAUCUCUAAGUGAGGCAAAUUCAGAACUAUCAAAGAAGAACAAGUACCGCCACCACCUAGGCACAGGUGGUUACAAGCGUCAGGUUCCUAAAUGGACACAAGAAGACGCCGAGAAGAAGGCUGCAGGGUUGCCGACGCUGUCCGAGCAACUUGGUGAAAGGGCGGCAAAUUGGCUCCGUGCUAGAAAACCAAGGGAAACCGAGACCGGUGUAUCUUUUGAUGAUCCCAUUGUCGAAGAAGCGGCAAAAAACAUAUAUACAAUGGCAGCUAAGCAGAGCGAAGGAACUUUUAAGCCACAAAGGGAAAGAGACAUCCUAACGGCUGGUCUCGGUAACCCUGAGCAUCCUGGUCGUGUACGAGGAAUCUCGUCUAAGGAAGGAUGGAAGGAAGGAUUCGGACCACAGUGGGAAGGUCUGUACAAGAAACGUGAUCGAUACAAGGAAGAGAUCGUGGAUUAUUUUAAGGAGGAGGCCAAGAAAGAGUUCAAAGCCAUGAUGUCUCAAAUGCUAUCGAAUCCUCCUCCAGAAUUGAUGCAACAGUUGGCGAGUGCGAUGUCUGUUCAACAGAUGACCACUCCACAGAUACAAAUAAUUCCAGCAGCUCAACCGCCGGCUUCCACAGAUUGUACGACAUUACCAAGCUCUGUUGCUUCAACGGGAAAUAAGGACCGUUAUCCAGUUGAUGACAUCACAAGGCCUGUGGCGUGCACACUGGUUAUAAGAUAUGGUAUUAACAAUAAACGUACAAAGAUAGUAGCCACAGGCCUUGCGAUCCCAGGACGCAAGUACCAUGGAAACGAUAUUCCAGAUGAUUAUUGCAAAGUAGAAGUGACGACGGUCGUCCAAGGAUACGAGGACGACAUGCUAGACAUCCCUGGGCCCGAAGGUAUCGAGAAACUUGGACAAGCUAUCAAGAAUUUUAUCCUUUGGCCUCGAAGGGAUGUCGAAUUGCUUGAUUGGUCGAAUUCGUCGCAGGUGUCGCAGGCCCAACCGUCUCCGCCUUCUCAAAUUGCUGUUCCUAUUGUACAUCCAUCCUCACCUCCUCAAACUUCACAUGCUGCUCCUCAUCCUUUUUCUGACCCACCGUCUCCGCCACAAGCAUCACCAUUCAGGGCUCCACCACCUUCUCCUCCCCAUCCUCUUGGUGACCCACUGUCUACGCCACCAUCAAGGGAUCCACCUUCUCCACAGCCAUCAAACGAUCCACGACCAUCAAAGAAAUCUAAACUUCCUAUACCAAAAUUGGUGUCCCCGUAUCAGAAAAAGAAGAGUAAAGCUACUACUGCUGGCACAGUUAGGUUUUUGAAAGGGAUUGGACGGAGCCUCACGUCACAAACUGUUGAUUUGGCCGAGCACGAGGAGUCUGCAAAAAAGGCUGAGGCAACGGACGCAAAGAUAAAGAAGCCAACUAAGGCAGAUUACAAAAACGUGCCUAAAAAAUAUGUGCCGGGCAGACCUCUGCUACCUCUUGACAAACUAAGAAAGGUCCCGGCUGGUGUUAAAAGGUUGCAUGACUGGUACAUGCGGGCAUCAUCGGUUGGCAUCGACACCAUCAGUGUGCAUAUACCAGACCAUGCUUUUAUUGGUUCGAACCAAAAGGCCGUUGUUACAUUCGAGGACAUGUGGUUAAUGAUGAACCUUCAGAGACUCGACGUGCAACUUGUAACGAUGUUUGCAUUGUAAGUGUCGCUCAUACUUCCACAUAUGUGUGUUAUUAUUAGUGAGCUGUAUAAAAUUUCAAUAUCUGACAUGCACGUGUGACUUGCAGAAUGCAACAUGAUCAGCAGGAGAUUCUUUACGGUACCAAGCCCAAUGCUAGUGCCAGUAAAAGGGUUGGGUAUCUCAACCCAAUACUUAUAUCCGAGGAAAGCCACACUUUUAGAAUCGGGAAAGACAACGAUGAAAUACGGGGAAAGACGGACGAAGAAGUUGAGAAGCGUAUAAAGGAAAUGAAGAAGGAUUUUGAAGCUCGAUACGCCACAUACAUAGGACAUGCAAUGCUUCAAUUUCAAGACAGGGAAGCCAUAAUGGCCCCGUACAACUUUAAGUAAGUGUGAUUUUGCAUAAAUAAAAUUAAUAAUUUCAAUACACAUGCAUCACAAAUUUGAUUCGUACAGGGACCACUGGAUAUGCUUCCUCAUUUAUCCUAAGGUUGGAAAGGUGCUGGUGCUCGACUCCUUGAACUUCGACCCUUCGACAUAUGCAACAUUCCUCAGCAUCUUAGAGCUGUAAGCCUUUUCUAUGCAUGCAUACUUUUAUCGAUUAAAAUUUGAGAAUAACAUGGUGAUUCUAUUUGAGAUCACAGUGCUUAUAGAUUCUAUAAGAUGAGAGGUGGAAAGUACGACCUGUCGAAAAAACAAGUGCCACUAGACAUCCAUCAUCACUGGCCGGUAAGUAUGUGAUUUUAUGAAUACAUAUCAUACACAAUGUUGCAACUAAAUAACCAAUCUCCCGUUAUGUAGUGCCACAAGCAACCACAAGGAUCGGUCCUAUGUGGAUUCUAUGCGUGCGAGUUCAUGAGAGUGAACGGACGAUACAUCACGAACCCUGACAAGGUAUUAUUAGUAAUAGUUAAGUAUGUAUUUAUGUCAUUAAAAGAUGCAAAUGUGUUAUUAUUGAGUAUAAAUAGAUGAUGUUUAUAAAAUUCCUUUACAGCAAUUUCAACGAGGAAACCCGGAGAACUUGACCGAAGCUGCAUUGUAUGGCAUAGUCGAGGACCUCUGCACAUUCAUAUUGAAAGAGGUCAUUCCCGCAGAAGGAAAAUAUCACGAUGCUUCCGGAACAUUAGCUUUGCCAGAGUUUAGAAUACUAACAAAAAUUAGUAGAUUAUCUCUUAGCCGAGAUAGUUAUUAGAGCUUAGGUGAAAACCUAUGAUGUAUAGAAUGCAUGAAGGAUAUAUGGUUGUAAACAAAAUACUUUCAUGUCGUAGAAUGCAUGAAAACUUAUGAUGUAUAGAAUUUAAUUUCAUGUUGCUUUCAAUAUCAAUAUAGAUCUAUAUAUAUAUAUGUUUGUGUGUGUGUAAAUAAAUAUAUAUAUAAUUCAGUAUUGUUUGAAAUUUUGAAAAAAGGCGGGAAAGUUCCACUGGCGGCUGAAUAAAGAAAACCGCCAGUGAAAAGUGCAUUUCCACUGGCGGUUUGCUUUAUAAAACCGCCAGUGAAAAUGCAUUUUCACUGGCGGUUUUCUUUAUUCAGCCGCCAGUGGAAAUGAACUUUUCACUGGCGGUUCCUUAAGAAAACCGCCAGUGAAAAUGCACUUUUCACUGGUGGUUCCAAAAUAACCGCCAGUGGAAAUGCUGAUUUCCACUGACCCCUAGCAUUGGCGGUACUGAAAAACGCCAGUGUAAAUAUGUUUAGAACCGCCACUAUAGAGCUUCUGUGUACUAGUGUUUCCACAUGCGGUUGAGUAAAUAAAAUCGCUCACGCUUUCUACUAAUCCCUAGCACUAGAGAUUCUGAAAAACGUCAGUGAAAAUGAGUUACGAACUACCUUUAUAUAGCUUCUUUGUACUAGUAUCUCAUCUGCUCUCUUAUUUCAAACGACAUUGUUUACAUGUAACUAGUGUUGUCUACAUAUAUAUAGGCAUAGCAAUGCACGAUUUAUUGGCCACGACAUUAGGCUAUCUCCAACAGUCUUACUGUCUCGCUUCUCAUUUCAAGCUACACUUUGUAAAUAGUGCAUCUACAGCGUUGCACGCUAUUGUUAAUUGUAGAGGAAAAAAAAUAUUUAUAUACCGGAUGUAAAUAAUCUAUUUUACACAACCUCUCACAUAUACCAGCUACUGGUCCAUUUAAAUAGAAGAAAAACAAGUUACUAAAGGGUUAUUUUGUAAAUUUUGAUAUGUCUUUGGGGUCUUUAAGUGGUGGAUGUGAUGGUAUGUGUCGGGGACCAUAAUUAGGGGUACCCCCAAGACUCCUAAUCUCAGCUGGUAACCCCCAUCAGCACAAAGUUGCAAAGGCCUGAUGGGCGCGAUUAAGGUCAAGGCUCAGUCCACUCAAGGGACACGAUCUCGCCUCGCCCGAGCCCAGCCUCGGGCAAAGGCAGCCGACCCCGGAGGAUUCACGUCUCGCCCGAGGGCCCCCUCAAGCAACGGACACACCUUCGGCUCGCCCGAGGCCUAGUCUUCGCAGAGAAGCAACCUUGGCCAGAUCGCCACGCCAACCGACCAUAUCGCAGGAGCAUUUAAUGCAAGGAUCGCCUGACACCUUAUCCUAACGCGCGCUCUUCAGUCGACAGAGUUGAAGUGACCACAGUCACUUCGCCGCUCCACUGACCGACCUGACAAGAAAACAGCACCGUCUGCGUCGCUCCGACUGCUGUGCCACUCGACAGAGUGAGGCUGACAGCAGCUAAGUCCAGCCUCGGGCGCCAUAGGAAGCUCCGCCUCGCCCGAUCCCAGGGCUCGGGCUCAACCUCGACGAUGGACGACGGACUCCGCCUCGCCCGACCCCAGGGCUCGGACACGGCCUCGGCCUCGGAAGACGGUCUCCGCCUCGCCCGACCCCAGGGCUCGGGCUCAACCUCGACGCUGGACGACGGACUCCGCCUCGCCCGACCCAGGGCUCGGACUCAGCCUUGCUUGGCCUCGGAAGACGGUCUCCGCCUCGCCCGACCCAGGGCUCAGACUCAACCUCGACCUCGGAAGACGGACUCCGCCUCGCCCGACCCCAGGGCUCGGACUCAGCCUCGACCUCGGAAGACGGACACGACCUCGACCUCGGUGGAGCCGCCACCUCGCCCAAACUCGGGUCCGGACCGGCCACGUCGCCAGGGGGGCCAUCAUUACCCUACCCCUAGCUAGCUCAGGCUACGGGGAACAAGACCGACGUCCCAUCUGGCUCGCCCCAGUAAAUAAAUAAUGAUGGCGCUCCGCGUGCUCCAUGACGACGGCGGCUCUCAGCCCCUUACGGAAGCAAGGAGACGUCAGCAAGGAUUCGACAGCCCCGACAGCUGUCCUUCCGCAGGGCUCCAGCUCUCCUCCGACGGCCACGACAUCACAUGAAUAGGGUGCCAAAACCUCUCCGGCUGCCACGACGACAUGUACUUAGGGCUCUAGCUCCUCUCUGCUAGACACGUUAGCACACUGCUACACCCCCAUUGUACACCUGGACCCUCUCCUUACGCCUAUAAAAGGAAGGUCCAGGGCUCUCGUACGAGAAGGUUGGCCACGCGGGAGAACGGUCCGGCGCAUAAGGCUCUCGCUCUCUCCCACGCGAACGCUUGUAACCCCCUACUGCAAGCGCAUCCAUCCGCCCUGGGCGCAGGACAACACGAAGGCUGCGGGUUCCCCUUUACUGUUCUCCCCCCUUUGUGUCCUGUCUCGCGCCGACCCAUCUGGGCUGAGACACGCAACGACAAUUUACUCGUCGGUCCAGGGACCCCUCGGGGUCGAAACACCGACAGUUGGCGCGCCAGGUAGGGGCCUGCUGCGUGUUGACGAACAGCUUCCCAUCAAGCUCCAGAUGGUAGUCUUCAGCAACCUUUCCAACCCGGGACGAUGCUCCGUUUCGAGAGUCUUGAGUUCAUGUCCCUCGACGGCAGCUACGACAUGAUACUCCUUCCUCCGCCGCGCGACAGUGACAAUGGCGGCCAUCAGCCCGCCCGCCGGCGGCGGAUUCAACGACGUCUUCCCCACAUGGCGGAAGAACAACAUUCAGGUUUGUCCCGUCACCUCCCCCACCAACGGAGGAGGAGGCGGGGCAACCAUGGCCAAGCAGGAGGCGGCACCUCGUCGGCUGUCGAGCAAGUCAACGACGCCGGCGCCCCAGCGGGGGACAUGUCGGGCUUCGACCUUGCGUCUGAGACGAAGAUGAACGUCGUUUCCCCGCAACACGCCAACCCCAAGCAGACGGACGACGCCAGCACGCUCACAAAGGACUUGCUGGGCGUUGCCCUCGUACCUGAGACAACGGUGCAGUCCGCCCCUGACGCGACUUCAUCACCGCCCGUCGACCAAGAGGUACCGACCGAUUCCCAUCUCGUGCCUUUUGGAUUCAGCUUCGACCUACCAAGCGACCUCGCUUCGGUGGAAGCCUUCAUAGAGGCAUGUACCAACCCUCCGGGGUACAUAUGCGGUCGCCCUGGGACAGACUGACGACCGUCUCGACCUACGGACCCUCGGAUUCCGAGGAAGAUGACGAGCCCGACUUUUGUUGGGAUUUCUCCGGGCUCGGUAACCCCAGUGCCAUGCAGGACUUCAUGACCGCAUGCGACUACUGCCUCUCCGAUUGUUCCGAUGGUAGCCGCAGCUUCGGCGACGAGGACUGCGGCCCAAGUCGUGAAUGUUUCCAUGUCGAUCUAGGGGGUCCCGGUGAAGGCAACCAUCUUGGUAUGCCGGAAAACGGCGAUCCCCUAGGUCUGCGCCUCGCGUUGACAUCCUUCGGGAGCUAGCUGUGGUCCCAGUCCCUGCGGGGGGUCAGGACGCACAGCUCGAGCAAAUCCGCGAGAUGCAGGCCAGGCUCGACGAGGGAGCAGGAACACUUGAGCAGUUCCGGCGGAACAUCGGGCAGGAAUGGGCAGACCAAGCUUCGGCCGGAGAAGCGCGUCAUCUACCCCAGGGCAUCCAGCACCGCAUUGCCGACGACAUCAGGGCAAGGCCGCCACCAGCUUCCAGUGGGGUUGGCCAGAACCUGGCUGCAGUAGCAAUACUACUCCGCGUGAUGCCGGAACCAUCGACCACCGAAGGGCGGCGUAUCCAGGGAGAGCUCAAGAAUCUCCUGGAGGAUGCCGCGGUCCGACGGGUCGAAAGCUCUGCCUCCCGAAGGCAGAGGUACCCCUCGGAGCAUCGCGCCGCGACUUCCCGAUUCGUGCGGGAAGCCUCGGUCCACACCGGGCGCACGCGCAACACGCCGCCUGCGGCCCCGGGUUGCCUCGGCAACGAGCACCACCACCGCAACCGUCGUGCCCACCUCGACGAGAGGGUGCGCCGAGGCUACCACCCUAGGCGUGGGGGACGCUACGGCAGCGGGGAGGAUCGAAGCCCCUCGCCCGAACCACCCGGUCCGCAGGCUUUCAGCCGGGCCAUACGACGGGCACCGUUCCCGACCCGGUUCCGAACCCCGACUACCAUCACAAAGUACUCGGGGGAGACAAGGCUGGAAUUGUGGCUCACGGACUACCGACUGGCCUGCCAGCUGGGUGGAAUGGAUGAUGACAACCUCAUCAUCCGCAACCUCCCCCUGUUCCUCUCUGACACCGCUCGAGCCUGGCUGGAGCAUCUGCCUCCGGGGCAGAUCUCUAACUGGGACGACCUGGUCCAAGCCUUCGCCGGCAACUUCCAGGGCACGUACGUGCGCCCUGGGAACUCCUGGGAUCUCUGAAGCUGCCGCCAGCAGCCGGAAGAGUCUCUCCGAGACUACAUCCGGCGAUUCUCGAAGCAGCGCACCGAGCUGCCCAAUGUCACCGACUCGGACGUCAUCGGCGCGUUCCUCGCCGGCACCACCUGCCGCGACCUGGUGAACAAGCUGGGUCGCAAGACCCCCACCAGGGCGAGCGAGCUGAUGGACAUCGCCACCAAGUUCACCUCUGGCCAGGAGGCGGUUGAGGCCAUCUUCCGAAAGGACAAGCAGCCCCAGGCCCGCCAGCCGAAAGACGUCCCCGAGGCGUCCACUCAGCGCGGCACCAAGAAGAAGAACAAGAAGAAGUCGCAAGCGAAACGCAACGCCACCAACGCGGACCUUGUCACCGCCGCUGAGUACAAGAACCCUCGGAAGCCUCCCGGAGGUGCCAACCUGUUCGACAAGAUGCUCAAGGAGCCGUGCCCCUAUCAUCAGGGGACCGUCAAGCACACCCUUGAGGAGUGCGUCAUGCUUCGGCGCCACUUUCACAAGGCCAGGCCACCGGCGGAAGGUGGCAGGGCCCACAACAACGACAAGAAGGAGGAUCACAAGGCAGAGGAGUUCCCCGAGGUCCACGACUGCUUCAUGAUCUACGGUGGGCCAGUGGCGAACGCCUCGGCUCGGCACCGCAAGCAAGAGCGUCGGGAGGUCUACUCGGUAAAGGUGGCGGCGCCAGUCUACCUAGACUGGUCCGACAAGCCCAUCACCUUCGAUCAGGGUGACCACCCCGACCAUGUGCCGAGCCCGGGGAAAUAUCCGCUCGUUGUCGACCCCGUCAUUGGCAACGUCAGGCUCACCAAGGUCCUCAUGGACGGAGGCAGCAGCCUCAACAUCAUCUACGCCGAGACCCUCGGGCUCCUGCAGAUCGAUCUGUCCUCGAUCCGGACAGGCGCGACGCCUUUUCACGGGAUCAUCCCCGAGAAACGCAUCCAACCCCUCGGACAACUCGAUCUGCCCGUCUGCUUCGGGACUCCCUCCAACUUCCGAAGGAAAACCCUCACGUUCGAGGUGGUCGGGUUCCGAGGAACCUACCACACAUUACUGAGGAGGCCAUGCUACGCCAAGUUCAUGGCCGUCCCCACUACACCUACCUCAAGCUCAAAAUGCCGGGCCCCAACGGGGUCAUCACCGUCGGCCCCACAUACCGACACGCGUACAAAUGCGACGUGGAGUGCGUGGAGUACGCCGAGGCCCUCACCGAAUCCGAGGCCCUCAUCACCGACCUGGAGAGCCUCUCCAAGGAGGCGCCAGAUGCGAAGCGCCACGCCAGCAACUUCGAGCCAGCUGAGACAGUCAAAUCCGUCCCUCUCGACCCCAGCAACGACGCCUCCAAGCAGAUACGGAUCGGCUCCGAGCUCGACCCCAAAUAGGAAGCAGUGCUCGUCGACUUCCUCCGCGCGAAUGCCGAAGUUUUCGCGUGGAGUCCCUCGGACAUUCCUGGCAUACCGAGGGAUGUCGCCGAGCACUCGCUGGAUAUCCGAGCUGGAGCCCGACCCGUGAAGCAGCCUCUGCGCCGAUUCGACAAAGAAAAGCGCAGAGCCAUAGGCGAGGAGGUCCACAAGCUGAUGGCCGCAGGGUUCGUCAAAGAGGUAUUCCAUCCCGAAUGGCUUGCCAACCCUGUGCUUGUGAGAAAGAAAGGAGGGAAAUGGCGGAUGUGUGUAGACUACACUGGUCUAAACAAAGCAUGUUCGAAGGUUCCCUACCCUUUGCCUCGCAUCGAUCAAAUCGUGGAUUCCACUGCUGGGUGCGAAACCCUGUCUUUCCUCGAUGCCUACUCAGGGUAUCACCAAAUCAGGAUGAAAGAGUCCGACCAGCUCGCGACUUCUUUCAUCACGCCCUUUGGCAUGUACUGCUACGUUACCAUGCCAUUUGGUUUGAGGAAUGCGGGUGCGACGUACCAAAGGUGCAUGAACCACGUGUUCGGAGAGCACAUUGGUCGAACGGUCGAGGCUUACGUCGAUGACAUCGUAGUCAAGACGAGGAAAGCCUCCGACCUCCUCUCUGACCUUGAAACGACAUUCCAGUGUCUCAAGGCGAAAGGCGUAAAACUCAAUCCCGAGAAGUGCGUCUUCGGAGUCCCCCGAGGCUUGCUCUUGGGGUUCAUCGUCUCAGAGCGGGGCAUCAAGGCCAACCCGGAGAAAAUCGCGGCCAUCACCAACAUGGGGCCCAUCAUGGACUUGAAAGGCGUACAGAGGGUCAUGGGAUGCCUUGCGGCUCUGAGCCGUUUCAUCUCGCGCCUCAGAGAAAGAGGCCUACCUCUGUACCGCCUCUUGAAGAAGACCGAGUGCUUCACUUGGACCCCCGAGGCCGAGGAAGCCCUCGGAAACCUAAAAGCGCUCCUUACCAGCGCGCCCAUCUUGGUGCCCCCCGCUGCCGGAGAAGCCCUCUUGAUCUACGUCGCCGCUACCACCCAGGUGGUCAGCGCCGCGAUCGUGGUUGAGAUACGAGAAGAAGGGCAUGCAUUGCCCGUCUAGAGGCCGGUCUACUUCAUCAGUGAGGUACUGUCUGAGACCAAGAUCCGCUACCCAUAAAUUCAGAAGCUGCUGUACGCGGUGAUUCUGACGCGGCGGAAGUUGCGACACUACUUCGAGUCUCAUCCGGUGACUGUGGUGUCAUCCUUCCCCCCUGGGGGAGAUCAUCCAGUGCCGAGAGGCCUUGGGUAGGAUUGCAAAGUGGGCGGUGGAGAUCAUGGGCGAGACGAUCUCGUUCGCCCCUCGGAAGGCCAUCAAGUCCCAAGUCUUGGCAGACUUUGUGGCUGAAUGCGUCGACACCCAGCUUCCAGCAGCUCCGAUCCAACCGGAACUCUGGACCAUGUUUUUAGACAGGUUGCUGAUGAAAACAGGGGUAGGCGCGGGCCUGCUCUUCAUCUCGCCCCUCGGGAAGCACCUCCUCUACGUGUUGCGCCUCCAUUUCCCGGCGUCCAACAACGUGGCUGAGUACGAGGCUCUGGUCAAUGGGUUGCGCAUCGCCAUCGAGCUAGGGGUCCGACGCCUCGACGCUCGCGGUGACUCGCAGCUUGUCAUCGACCAAGUCAUGAAGAACUCCCACUGCCGCGACCCGAAGAUGGAAACCUACUGCGACGAGGUUCGGCGCCUGGAAGACAAGUUCUACGGUCUCGAGGUCAACCACGUCGCCUGGCGGUACAACGAGACUGCAGACGAGCUAGCGAAGAUAGCUUCGGCGCGAACAACGGUUCCCCCGAACGUCUUCUCCUGGGACCUACAUCAACCCUCAGUCAAGACAAACGACACACCCGAGCCCGAAAAGGUCUCGGCCCUGCCCGAAGUGCCCUCGACUCAGCCCGAGGCACCCUCGGCCCCCGAGGGUGAGGCUCUGCGCAUCGAGGAAGAGCGGAAUGGGGUCACGCCUAAUCGAAACUGGUAGACCCCAUACCUGCAAUAUCUCCACCGAGGAGAGCUACCCCUCGACAGAGCCGAAGCUCGGCGACUGGCGCUGCGCGCCAAGUCAUUCGUCUUGCUGGGUGACGGGAAGGAGCUCUACCAGCGCAGCCCCUCCGGCAUCCUCCAGCGAUGCAUAUCCGUCGCCGAAGGCCAGGAGCUCUUACGAGAAAUACACUCGGGGGCUUGCGGUCAUCACGCAGCGCCUCGAGCCCUUGUUGAAAACGCUUUCCGACAAGGUUUCUACUGGCCGACCGCGGUGGCCGAUGCCACUAGAACUGUCCGCACCUGCCAAGGGUGUCGAUUCUACGCAAAGCAGACCCACCUACCUGCUCAGGCUCUGCAAACAAUACCCAUCACCUGGCCGUUUGCUGUGUGGGGUCUGGACCUCGUCGGUCCCUUGCAGAAGGCGCCCGGGGUCUACACGCACCUGCUGGUCGCCAUCGACAAAUUCUCCAAGUGGAUCGAGGUCCGACCCCUAAACAGCAUCAGGUCCGAACAGGCGGUGGCGUUCUUCACCAACAUCAUCCAUAGCUUUGGGGUCCCGAACUCCAUCAUCACCGACAACGACACCUAGUUCACCGGCAGAAAGUUCCUGGACUUCUGCGAGGAUCACCACAUCCGGGUGGACUGGGCCGCCGUGGCUCACCCCAUGACGAAUGGGCAGGUAGAACGUGCCAACGACAUGAUUCUGCAAGGACUCAAGCCGAGGAUCUACAACGACCUCCACAAGUUCGGCAUGCGAUGGAUGAAGGAACUCCCCUUGGUGGUCUGGAGCCUGAGGACGACGCCAAGUCGAGCCAAAGGACGAGGGCCUACGACGACCGACGCAACCAGACCAACCGAGAAGACUCACUGGACCAGCUGGAAGAGGCUCCGAACAUGGCCUUACUACACUCGGCGCAGUAUCAGCAGUCCCUGUGACGCUACCACGCCCGAGGGGUUCAGUCCCGAGACCUCCAGGUGGGCGACUUGGUACUUCGACUACGACAAGACGCCCGAGGGCGGCACAAGCUCAUGCCUCCCUCGGAAGGGCCGUUCGUCAUCGCCAAGGUUCUGAAGCCCGGGACGUACAAGCUGGCCAACAGUCAAGGCGAGGUCUACAUCAACGCUUAGAACAUCCGACAGCUACGUCGCUUCUACCCUUAAGAUGUUUUCAAGCCGUUCAUAUACCUCGUUUACAUAUAAAGUCUAACCAUCAAGGAAGGGUCAGCCUUGCCUCGGCAAAGCCCGACCCUCCCUCCGGGGCUAGAAGGGGGGGGGAACCCCCUCCGCGUCAAAAUUUUCCUCGGAAAAAGUCUUUCUGCCAGAAUAUCUUUCGUGCUUUUCGACUACUUUGGUAGUGGGAUCAUGAAAACGACGGAGUACACGUAAGCAGGCAAGGCCGACCGAGCCGAGGGACUCCUACGCCUCCGGGAUACGGAUACCUCACUCAUCGCCUUCUAUGAGAAGUAACUCGCGUUCAGAUGAGCGAUCCUGCUGACCGAACAAGCCUUAACGCUCAAAAGACUUUCUGCCGAAAUGGUUUUUCGGGUUUUCUCGGCUACGUUGAUAAUAGAAUCCCGCAGACGAGCAAGAGUACACGUAAGCGGCAAGGCCGACCGAGCCGAGGGAUUCCUAUGCCUCCGGGAUACGGAUACCUCACUCAUCACCUUUCGUGAGAAGUAUGAAGCGUCCCCAAUCCUCUGGGACUCAAAUGUGAUACAAUUACUAGUCCCAGGAGGCUAGUAAACACAUUUAUACAUCAGAUGAUUCCAGAUCUGCUUAAACGAGACAAACCUAUAAAGGUGGCGAUCAACUUUAAGAGUUGGUCCACAACUCGGGACAUAUCAUCAGAGUGGGGCUGAAGCAGCCCGAUAUACGCAGUGAAGCAAAUCAGCGGUCCAACAGCCACAGGCAAGGUUGGGAACAGUCGUAACUCUUACCCGAUCUCCUUUUUCUGAAAAACAACAAAUAAGCAAGGGUGAGUACAAACGUACUCAGCAGCCCACCUUCACCCGCGGAAUGGGGAAAUCAGAUAUAAUGCAUGGAAUAUGUGGAGCUCAGGAUAUUUUGCAGAAACAGCAAUAUUUUAUGCAGAGUUGUUUUGAAAAACAUUUUGUAUUUUUGCAAAGCGCAUCCUCUCCAAAAGGAGCAGGAGUUUUUCAGUAUUAUAAUAAAAUCCUCUGGACUAAACCAUCCAGGUAUCUCAGCAGUUUCCCACUGGUUUUCAUUUUCAAAAACAGCUACUGGACUUCCCGUCCACCAUAGCUCACGGCUCAACCGCCGAACCUUAUAAAAACCACUUUUCAAAAACAUCUCUUUUUUUUGGAAAACAAAACAUUAAUUGCCAUACCAUACCAGACUCGUCCAUUCCUGUGGACACAGACUAUUCGAAUAGGUUUUCAAACUCUGCGCAGAGGUGUACACUUUACCCACUAGUCCGGCUCUGUGAUCUCAUGAUCAAUGAGAUCCGAAUCCGAAUCUCUUUCUUUCCUCGCACGUCCUAACCUUAACGGUUAUCCGGAAGGAGUCAGGCCACCGCCAUGUCCAAACCGGACAAAACUUUCCCCCUCCUUAUCCUCCCGGUGCUCCCCAGCCUUCAUAACCCUGGGGUUGAACCGUACGAGUUCAGAUUGAGUGACUGCCCACACAGUCUCGAGUGGUUGUACUAUUAAAGAGUACAGGUAGUGAAGAUGACAAACCGGUCCUUAUACGAGGGGAUAAUCCUUCUGCUCACGCCUAAACCAGCUGAGCCAUCACCUUAGGCCCUCCCCUAAACCAGGGAGUCCCUGAUUAUCCCACUCACAAGGUGAUAAGGGUGAAAACCCUUCAUCAUACACAUUUUGAAAAGCAUUUUCUUUUGAAAACUCACACCCUUUCUCAAAUCAUUUGUAACAAAUAUAUUAAGGAGUGAUUGCGGCAAGCGGCUUGGGUGGCCAUAAUAACUUGUCACAAAAUCAUAUCAUGCAUAAAAUAACAGGCUGAGGGUUGUGGUUGAAAAACAUAGGUAAUUUAUGCAUCAAAGGGAUCCAGUGAGCUUGCCGUGCUUAUUCGGCGAAGGGGGAAGGGGAGCUCGCGGAACUGGCUUCUGGCUCCACCGCCUAGCGUAGACUUGCAGAUCUGGCCUCCACGAGACGGCACGAACGCUCCGAUAACUAUGCAACAUGAACAAGCAAACAUACAAACCAACAAGUAUACCAACAAAUAUUUAGUAUAGUGGUCAGAAUAGCGAUAUAUGGAUGGGUAGAGUCUUGAGUAGAAUCUGUGUCAUGUGGUGUUGUGAUAUUACUAGUGGUGGAGCGGAGGUGCUUACCAGGAGGGUGGACUGGAGGCGAAGCGACACUAUGUGUGUAGCCGGCAGAGCAGAGUAACUGAGUGGGUGGGGUGUUUGCCUUGGCUGAGGGUGUUGAGUGUGUGUGGAGAGGGAGAGGGUAGCUGGGUGUAUUUAUAGCUGGGUGUAUGUGGUGUAGCACAGUGAAGUUCACUGUUGGUGAGAAUAGUGACGAAUGAAUCGUCUGACUUAGUAUGAACAGGAGAGUUAUAGGCAGAAUAUGGGACAAGAGUAUUUUGGGAGUUUUCUGGAAUAUGGACCAUGCUUAAGGGAUGACAUGGUUGGGUAGGGAAUAGUUUGAUAAGAAUUUAGAAACGAGAUUUAUUGGAAUCUGAGUUUGGGAGCCUGGUUCGAAGGAUUCUCAAAGUUAAGCGUGCUCAACUUGGAGAAACCUGGGAUGGGUGACCAGAUGGGAAGUUCCCUACUGGAAGAAAAAUCACAGUCACCGGAGUUCGUAUGACUGGAAUAUGGGUCUGGCUGGUCUUAGGUGGACUGGACAACAUGAUGUACGAGUAGUUGAAAUUUGGGAUGACUAGAUGACUGAUGAAUAGUAACGAUGAUCAGUAACGAUGAAUAGUGGCGAUGGAAAAGAAAUUAUAGAUAUCAUCGAUGAAUAGUAACGAUGAUGAAUAGUAAUGAUAAAUAGUAACGAUGAUGAAUAGUGUAUGUGAAUAGUAAUGGUGAAUAGUAAUGGUGAAUAGUGAUAGUGAAUAGUUUGAACGAACGAUGAAUAGGAACUAUGAACGAACGGACGAACGAUCGAAUGAUCGGACGAACGAACGAUCGGAAUUUCGGCAGCAUAACGGCAGGAAAAGAUUAUUUGGACGAACGAACGGACGAACGAUCGAAUGAUCAUACGAACGAACGAUCGGAAUUUCGGCAGCAUAACGGCAGGACAAAAAUUAUCUGGAAGAACGAUGAAUAGGGACUAUGAACGAACGAUGAAUCGAUGAAUAGGGACUAUGAACGAACGAUGAAUGAUCGAAUGAUCGAACGAACGAACGAUCGGAAUUUCGGCAGCAUAACGGCAGGACAAAGAUUAUCUGGAAGAACGAUGAAUAGGGACUAUGAACGAACGAUGAAUCGAUGAAUAGGGACUAUGAACGAACGAUGAACGAUCGAAUGAUCGAAUGAACGAACGAUCGGAAUUUCGGCAGCAUAACGGUAGGAAAAAGAUUAUUUGGACGAACGAACGGACGAACGAUCGAAUGAUCGGACGAACGGACGAACGAACCAUGAACGAUCGGACGAACGAUCGAACGAUCAGACGAAUGAACGAACAAACUAAGAACAGGGGACGAACGAUCGAAGAACGACCGAACGAUCCUUGUGCUAGUGUGUGCUUGUGUGGAACAUGGACUGGGUGUGUGUGGGGGGGGGGAGAGAGUUGCCAUGAAAUGGCUUGGGGUGGGAUGAGAGGAGGCCCUUGCCCCUCUAUUUAUAGCCAUGGUGGGGGGAUUAGGGGGAGGGAUGAGAGGAUUAGUGGGAGGAUGAGAGGAUUAGUGGGAGGUUAGCAUGUAUUUGUCUUGUAUAAGUGUAAUUAGCUUGUAGAGCUCACCGUAUGACACUGGAGGCAUACGUAUACGUAUGAGCAUGAGGAAAGUUAUGAAGAAAAUAUUUAUAGGGACUUGAAAAAUGAUUCUGAAGGUAUUUCUCAGGAGGAAAAUAUCUGGAGAUAUAUCGGUGGAAUAUUUGGGCAGUAUUUCUGGAAAGAACUUGAAGAGGAUCACUAGGGAAAUAUCUGGGCAAUAUUUCUGUAAACAAUUUGAGGGGGAUCACUGAGGAAAUAUUUGUAGGAUAUUUUGAGGAGGAUUUUAGAGAGAAUAUAGACCACUAUACUUUAUUUGUUGAUAUCAACUCGCAAACAAACAUUUUGAAAUGAAAUUUGAAAUUCAUUUUGAAUUUAUAGCAAGUUUGAGAAAGUUUCAGGAUUUGAAUUUUUGGGAUGCUACAAAUCUACCCCACUUAAAAGGAAUCUCGUCCUCGAGAUUUGGCUUAGAAGGGUUAUGGGUAUAGCUUUACUUCAGCUACAUAUCUUCACUUUGCAGACUCUUCGAGGAGAUAGAGCUUCAACAAAAUCUGGCCUUGAGGGGCAUCCGGUUGCUAAUUGCAAGCGCUGAUUCUCGCUACUCAAGAUCAUCUUCAGGUUUCUAGGUUUCGCUUGGCAGCUAGCUUAUUGAAGAAGCAUCAAUGCCAACACGCAAACCUUUCUCUUGCGAACUUCCACAUGGAUUCCUUCCUUGAUUGGUCUUCUGGUGCUUCAUCAACAAAACUUGGGUGACCACUUCUCAUCCAGAAACUUAUAUGCUUGGACGAUCGGGUCCUCCACAAGCUUGCUACAUGCCUUCAUCUUUUUCUCCAUAGCAGGAACCUUACUGGAACACUACCCCACUUAAAAAGAAAGAGGGUAGAACUCUUGAAUCUUGGGGAUUUGAACUCCUUGAAGUACCUCAUAACAAAGGUGUUACGGGGCCUUCUUCUGCUGUUGCUGCUUGAGCAGGCUGCGGAGAAAUGACUGACACAGGGUUUAUUCUGGGACAACCUUCUUCUCAUCUUCUCUUCACUAUCUUCUUUUCUCUUCUCACUUUUCACUUUUCACUGCCUCUUUCUUUCUCUUUGCUCUUCCCACUCGAGGAUUCUAUCAAAGAGUAUUACCAUCAUACAGAGGAGGAAACCGAAGAUGUUGAACCAUAUACAACAGUCUUCAACCCAAGAAUCACCAAGCAUUGUGAUCUCAGGGGCGAGGGGUGGAAAAAUGGAGUUGCUAGCGAUUUGGCAGAGGGGAUUUAUCUGGAGUGUGCUUUUGCUUUGAGCGAGAUGGGAGUUGAGGGAGAUGGUGGGGGGCUUUUAUAGGCGAGCGGGGGUGUUCGGUUGCGGAGCAGUGGUGAUGGAGUAGGUGCUACGCGGCAGCGGGUGCGAUAAGGGGAGGGGGGCCUGGUGUUGCCGGCGAUGAUGGUGGCGGUGGGUGCGCUGCAAAGGUGGCGUGGGCGGUGGUAGUGCGCUGCAAAGGGGGCGUGGGGCGAUGGUAGUGCGCAUGGAGGCAGGCACGCGUGCGAGGGGCACGGGUGAGUGGUGGGGUCAAUGACCCUGAUGUUUGUGGUCUCUGGUUCCAAGAAUCUUUGCCUCUCUGUAUGGUAAUAACUCCUUCUGUCCUCUUUUCCUGUUUACUUUGACUCAGGGGCAGUGCUUUGAUUCUUACGGUCGGUCCUUUUGACUGAGCGACUGGACUGGUUUCUUCUGUAGCUUGUUCCAGGCUUCAAGGGUAAGCUUCCCGGUAUCUUCUUGGGUAAGGCACUUUUCUCUUGGGAUGGGUUAAGAUGAGAAUGGAAGCAUAAGGUGAGGAUUAGAUCUAAUUUGUGAUCUAUGUUUUUUAGAGAAAACCUUUCUUAAAAAACACACAAGCUCAGCAAUGAUAAGCACAAACAAAUCGAAUGUUUUGAAUAAGGGAAGAAUAGAGUUUUUCCAAAGCACGGACUACUCAGAUUCGGGGGCUAAGCAUAACUACUAUUGCUUGGCUCCUGAAUUGAGAACUAUGCUAAAUGCAACUUAUGAGCACUAACGUUAAAGCAUCACAUAUGCACUCAAAAGGGAGGAAAACAUCAAGCGAAAUUCAUUUUGAAAUGCCCUAGGGGGCAACACAAAUAGAGUUUUUCAAAGCACGGGACUACACGAUUAACUCUCAUACAUGCAGGGCUCUAGCCAAAGUGAAGAAAAACUUCACUACCCAAUGCAUGCAGAGGACUGGGCAUACUAACUUCAGACCAGACAACUUCUCUUCUGGCAGGGCUGGCACACAACUUCAAUCCGAGACAUCUCCUGGAUGGGUCAAGAGGGAGCUGACGUUGAUGACUUCUUCUGGCGGCGACUGAGAUGGCAGGACAGGGUCGAACUCUUCUUCAAGCGGGACUGGCUCUUGUAGCUCCUCUGAGGGCGGCGGUGCUGGCGGGGUGCUUGCAGCUUCUUCCUUGACCUCAAGGGAUGGUGCUGGAAUCUUCUUCAUGGUGAGGGGCUCAAACAACUCUGGCGGGGGAUCUUGGGAGGAUUCAGGGUGCUCUUGCUUAUCCAUAGCCUGAGGGGAGACUGGAAUUCCUUCCAAGACUAUGGCUCCUUCCGGUAGUUCCCAAAUCUUCUUCUCUCCUCUGAUAGAGACCAGGUGACCUUCAAGAAUCUGGGGGUCUUCAGUUUUGAUGGGUUCAACAGGGUUGGAUGGAGCGGGCUCUUGGAUCCGCAGGGCUCUACGUUGGUUAUGGGUGACCAAGUAGGCCUCCAUCAACUUCUAGACGUGCUCAUCCUUGGCUUGCUUCAGGGCUUCCACAACAAUGACUUCACGACUUUCCAAGGCAGCUACACGGGCUUGAGCUGCGGUGAGAUCCACAUGCAGCUGACGGUUGCGCUUCUCUGCAUCUUCUGCUCGGGCAAUCAUCUGACGGUGGUGCCGAGCCAAGAAAUCAUACUGUGCAUCAAGGGUGAGCAGGUAUGCAGUGAGGUACACGACUGUGGGGUCAUCCUCAAGCAGCUGCUGCCCUUCCAAUGCACGCAUCCUGGCCAUCCAAGCGGGACGGUCUCUCUGAAAGGGCGGAAAGAAUCUGAGCGGAGUGUCGGCCACUUCUUCUUCAUAGAUCUGACACAGGGCCCUCAAUGCCUUACGGGCGACGUCUUGGCAGGUGUCUCUGAAUCUGUGCCCAGCAGCAGUGACACUCCAUUCCACAUGGUGUGGACUGGAUCCAAUGUAUAUAGUCACGACACACUUCUCUGUGCCAUGCUCGACGAAUUCACGACCAUCAUACUCUGGCUGGCUCCUGAUUCCGAGGCGAACUGUGCAUGCUCUCAGCAACUUGGGGAAACCAUCUUCAUUCUGGCAAAAGCUGGUUUGGCACUGAACCUCCAUCUGACUUCUGAGAGAAGGAAAGGGGGAAAACAUUUUUGAAAUGAAGGGAUGAGAGCAAGAAUUUUUUUUUAAGAAAAUAGUUUUGACUCAAAAACUUUUGAUCAGGCUAAGGGUUACGUCCUGCGGACAACCUAACAGCUCUGAUACCACCUGAAGCGUCCCCAAUCCUCUAGGACUCAAAUGUGAUACAAUUACUAGUCCCAGGAGGCUAGUAAACACAUUUAUACAUCAGAUGAUUCCAGAUCUACUUAAACGAGACAAACCUAUAAAGGUGGCGAUCAACUUUAAGAGUUGGUCCACAACUCGGGACAUAUCAUCAGAGUGGGGCUGAAGCAGCCCGAUAUACGCAGUGAAGCAAAUCAGCGGUCCAACAGCCACAGGCAAGGUUGGGAACAGUCGUAACUCUUACCCGAUCUCCUUUUUCUGAAAAACAACAAAUAAGCAAGGGUGAGUACAAACGUACUCAGCAGCCCACCUUCACCCGCGGAAUGAGGAAAUCAGAUAUAAUGCAUGGAAUAUGUGGAGCUCAGGAUAUUUUGCAGAAACAACAAUAUUUUAUGCAGAGUUGUUUUGAAAAACAUUUUGUAUUUUUGCAAAGCGCAUCCUCUCCAAAAGGAGCAGGAGUUUUUCAGUAUUAUAAUAAAAUCCCCUGGACUAAACCAUCCAGGUAUCUCAGCAGUUUCCCACUGGUUUUCAUUUUCAAAAACAGCUACUGGACUUCCCGUCCACCAUAGCUCACGGCUCAACCGCCGAACCUUUUAAAAACCACUUUUCAAAAACAUCUCUUUUUUUUGGAAAACAAAACAUUAAUUGCCAUACCAUACCAGACUCGUCCAUUCCUGUGGACACAGACUAUUCGAAUAAGUUUUCAAACUCUGCGCAGAGGUGUACACUUUACCCACUAGUCCGGCUCUGCGAUCUCAUGAUCAAUGAGAUCCGAAUCCGAAUCUCUUUCUUUCCUCGCACGUCCUAACCUUAACGGUUAUCCGGAAGGAGUCAGGCCACCGCCAUGUCCAAACCGGACAAAACUUUCCCCCUCCUUAUCCUCCCGGUGCUCCCCAGCCUUCAUAACCCUGGGGUUGGACCGUACGAGUUCAGAUUGAGUGACUGCCCACACAGUCUCGAGUGGUUGUACUAUUAAAGAGUACAGGUAGUGAAGAUGACAAACCGGUCCUUAUACGAGGGGAUAAUCCUUCUGCUCACGCCUAAACCAGCUGAGCCAUCACCUUAGGCCCUCCCCUAAACCAGGGAGUCCCUGAUUAUCCCACUCACAAGGUGAUAAGGGUGAAAACCCUUCAUCAUACACAUUUUGAAAAGCAUUUUCUUUUGAAAACUCACACCCUUUCUCAAAUCAUUUGUAACAAAUAUAUUAAGGAGUGAUUGCGGCAAGCGGCUUGGGUGGCCAUAAUAACUUGUCACAAAAUCAUAUCAUGCAUAAAAUAACAGGCUGAGGGUUGUGGUUGAAAAACAUAGGUAAUUUAUGCAUCAAAGGGAUCCAGUGAGCUUGCCGUGCUUAUUCGGCGAAGGGGGAAGGGGAGCUCGCGGAACUGGCUUCUGGCUCCACCGCCUAGCGUAGACUUGCAGAUCUGGCCUCCACGAGACGGCACGAACGCUCCGAUAACUAUGCAACAUGAACAAGCAAACAUACAAACCAACAAGUAUACCAACAAAUAUUUAGUAUAGUGGUCAUAAUAGCGAUAUAUGGAUGGGUAGAGUCUUGAGUAGAAUCUGUGUCAUGUGGUGUUGUGAUAUUACUGGUGGUGGAGCGGAGGUGCUUACCAGGAGGGUGGACUGGAGGCGAAGCGACACUAUGUGUGUAGCCGGCAGAGCAGAGUAACUGAGUGGGUGGGGUGUUUGCCUUGGCUGAGGGUGUUGAGUGUGUGUGGAGAGGGAGAGGGUAGCUGGGUGUAUUUAUAGCUGGGUGUAUGUGGUGUAGCACAGUGAAGUUCACUGUUGGUGAGAAUAGUGACGAAUGAAUUGUCUGACUUAGUAUGAACAGGAGAGUUAUAGGCAGAAUAUGGGACAAGAGUAUUUUGGGAGUUUUCUGGAAUAUGGACCAUGCUUAAGGGAUGACAUGGCUGGGUAGGGAAUAGUUUGAUAAGAAUUUAGAAACGAGAUUUAUUGGAAUCUGAGUUUGGGAGCCUGGUUCGAAGGAUUCUCAAAGUUAAGCGUGCUCAACUUGGAGAAACCUGGGAUGGGUGACCAGAUGGGAAGUUCCCUACUGGAAGAAAAAUCACAGUCACCGGAGUUCGUAUGACUGGAAUAUGGGUCUGGCUGGUCUUAGGUGGACUGGACAACAUGAUGUACGAGUAGUUGAAAUUUGGGAUGACUAGAUGACUGAUGAAUAGUAACGAUGAUCAGUAACGAUGAAUAGUGGCGAUGGAAAAGAAAUUAUAGAUAUCAUCGAUGAAUAGUAACGAUGAUGAAUAGUAAUGAUAAAUAGUAACGAUGAUGAAUAGUGUAUGUGAAUAGUAACGAUGAAUAGUAAUGGUGAAUAGUAAUGGUGAAUAGUGAUAGUGAACAGUUUGAACGAACGAUGAAUAGGAACUAUGAACGAACGGACGAACGAUCGAAUGAUCGGACGAACGAACGAUCGGAAUUUCGGCAGCAUAACGGCAGGAAAAGAUUAUUUGGACGAACGAACGGACGAACGAUCGAAUGAUCAUACGAACGAACGAUCGGAAUUUCGGCAGCAUAACGACAGGACAAAGAUUAUCUGGAAGAACGAUGAAUAGGGACUAUGAACGAACGAUGAAUCGAUGAAUAGGGACUAUGAACGAACGAUGAACGAUCGAAUGAUCGAACGAACGAACGAUCGGAAUUUCGGCAGCAUAACGGCAGGACAAAGAUUAUCUGGAAGAACGAUGAAUAGGGACUAUGAACGAACGAUGAAUCGAUGAAUAGGGACUAUGAACGAACGAUGAACGAUCGAAUGAUCGAAUGAACGAACGAUCGGAAUUUCGGUAGCAUAACGGUAGGAAAAAGAUUAUUUGGACGAACGAACGGACGAACGAUCGAAUGAUCGGAUGAAUGGACGAACGAACCAUGAACGAUCGGAUGAACGAUCGAACGAUCAGACGAACGAACGAACAAACUAAGAACAGGGGACGAACGAUCGAAGAACGACCGAACGAUCCUUGUGCUAGUGUGUGCUUGUGUGGAACAUGGAGUGGGUGUGUGUGGGGGGGAGAGAGUUGCCAUGAAAUGGCUUGGGGUGGGAUGAGAGGAGGCCCUUGCCCCUCUAUUUAUAGCCAUGGUGGGGGGGAUUAGGGGGAGGGAUGAGAGGAUUAGUGGGAGGAUGAGAGGAUUAGUGGGAGGUUAGCAUGUAUUUGUCUUGUAUAAGUGUAAUUAGCUUGUAGAGCUCACCGUAUGACACUGGAGGCAUACGUAUACGUAUGAGCAUGAGGAAAGUUAUGAAGAAAAUAUUUAUAGGGACUUGAAAAAUGAUUCUGAAGGUAUUUCUCAGGAGGAAAAUAUCUGGAGAUAUAUCGGUGGAAUAUUUGGGCAGUAUUUCUGGAAAGAACUUGAAGAGGAUCACUAGGGAAAUAUCUGGGCAAUAUUUCUGUAAACAAUUUGAGGGGGAUCACUGAGGAAAUAUUUGUAGGAUAUUUUGAGGAGGAUUUUAGAGAGAAUAUAGACCACUAUACUUUAUUUGUUGAUAUCAACUCGCAAACAAACAUUUUGAAAUGAAAUUUGAAAUUCAUUUUGAAUUUAGAGCAAGUUUGAGAAAGUUUCAGGAUUUGAAUUUUUGGGAUGCUACAAAGUAACUCUAGCUCGGAUAAACGAUUCUGCUACCGACGAGCAAGCCCUGAUACUCGAAACAAGAGGAAAAGAAAUGCAGCUUUACAACGCGACGACAGUAUGUUUGGGCCUCAGCGGCCACAAAAAACAUAUGCAUACUACAGGCGAACCGGUCCUGCAGGCUCAGACGUCGAUGGAGGGGGAGCAGCAGCACCCUCGGCGUCAACUCCACCUUCGGCGAAGUCCGACCGAGCCUCGGACGGCAACACGGACGAAGGAUCUCCACUCCGAAGGACGACGUCAGCACCACGCCCGGGCCAUCGCCGCCAGGGUCUCCUUCAGGAACCCGGCCCGAGCAGACGGCUCGGCCGGCCACCCCGAAGCCUCAGCCAGCUGUCCCCCGAGGACACCAGCCCGGCUCAUGGCCUCGGCAACCUGACUCCGGCGCUGGUCCCGCCAGUGGACGGCCUGGCCAGGCUCUGGCCGACGAAGUCUUCUUUUCGAGCCAACUCUGCCUCUGUCCAUGCUGACACCGCUGCCUCUGGCUCCGGCUCAUCGCAGAGCGGCCGAGGGUUCCUUUAACUAAGCAAGAGAAGCCUCGGGCGGCAAGGCCGACCGAGCCGAGGGACUCCUACGCCUCCGGGAUACGGAUACCUCACUCGUCACCUUCGCACGAGGCAACUCACACUUGGUUAAGCGGUUCAGUUAGCCGACUGGCGAGUCCUAGUGCUCGAAAGGAGGAAAAACAUGGUAUUACACCAAAAAUACCCACAUGUUCAGGCCCCGACAGCCACAAUGAACAGACACCGGCACUCAAGGUGCCAUUACAAACGGAACUCCGGUUCCACCCCCGCAGGUACGAACAACCCCCCACAUUGGAGGGCCUGCGGGGCGACGAAACCCCAGGUGGCUCACCGCCGCCCGCUCCGGCAGCAGCGACAACGACCUCCGCUCCAGGUGGCCAAACAACAACAGCGAUGGCCUCAGGGCGGACGCUGCUGCAACAAGGCCCUCGCCCACGUCCCCACUCGAGGGGCGAGGACAAGCUAUCAAAGCCAAAGAGCCGGAGGCCUGGAGCGCGGAUGGUGGCGGUGAUCCCGUCGGCGAUGAGGAAUUCUUCAGCCGCCACCACCUCCGCGCCGACGACGGAAGCCAUCUGCCCACCGGCAGAUCCCCACUCGAAUCCUCCCGGACGGGCGAGCACCGACCUCCGCGUAGAGGCGCCGUACCGGAGCAAAGACAGGACAGCCCAAGAACACGAACGCCGCCCUAGCAGCGCGCGACAUCUUGGGCGGUCCUCCGGUGCGCGCGGUGCGACAACCGCUCUCGCGGCGGGAGGGGGCACCGGGAGCCGAGCCAGAGCCAGCUGAGCCAGCGAGCCCAACGCGCUGAAGCAGACGACGCUCGCCGCCGACCAGCCCCGCGUUGUCGAAGUCCGACCCUCCCGCUAGGCCGGUGAGCGCCCUCUCCCCUGAAUGCUGAGGGAGAAGGUGACCCACGAACCCGCGCGGGAGGUAGAGCUCCGGCUCAGUCCGGCCUCCGCCCCAGCCAGGAUGAUGAAGAUCCUUGAAGCUGAGGGCGAGGCAGAGGUCGCAGCCCGGCUUGCUUCUCCCCACCAUCAAACUGGUGGUCACCGUCUUGGGUGACCACCGGCGAGGGGAUGCAGCCGAGCUGCCUGAUGAAAAUCCUUAAAGCCGAACGAUGGCUGAAAGGUACCAACUUCCGCGAAGUUGCGUUCCCCCGACGACGACAAGACGAAGGCGACGCGAGUGCUCCCCAUCCGGGGGCUCGGAAGGUGGAAGGACGCGAUGCAUGAAGGGAGUGCGAAGACAUGGUUGCCAUCCAAGGGGGUCACCCUCCUUUUAAAGGCGACUCUCCCCACCUGCGUCCUCAGCCGGCGCGGACUGAGUCUUCUCCAACACGCUCCAAAGUCCUCCCCCUACGACACGGGGGCUGGGUCCCACGCGUCAUGCAAGCUGGCCCAGGACAGAAGAGGCUAAACCGCCGCGCGCGGAGCGCACAACAGCCCAGCGGUUACAAGCAUUCCUCCACUAUCGCCCGGACCAACGGGUGAAAGGGCGAACCGCCAUGCAGGCGGCAUGCAACCGCACCAAGGGAGCGCACCCUUUCGACUUCGACGCGUCCAGCAUGGAGGCCCAGGCCCACACGUCAUGUAACCGGCUCGCCAGUUACUACGUGCGAGAAACUGCACCGCCACUCGCGCCAGUACCGCACCUCCUCGACUGCGGAACCGGUGCUGCGACUCGAGGCGACCCUGCGCAUGACCCAACAGUGCCAACCGAGCACAUCGGUCACGGGUCAGUCAGCCGCGGGAGAAGGCGCGACGGUCGAUAUGGCCAGAAAUGGGCCGGUAGUAAUGGCGGUGGCAGGCGGGCGGAAGCAGCAGUCAAGUCGCCUGCAGACUCACGUCCCCUCCUGGGACAGCAAGAGAGCCCUGUCCCACGGAGUGAAGACGACGCGCCCGUGUUCCGUUCCUCGAACGGCUCGCGCACGCACAACGGCUGCCCCGCGAACCACUCGUCACAUCGCAUUAACUCUGCGGCAGGACAGGCGGCACCUUUGGCAGGCAAAGCAGACAACGCUUCACCUUCGCCAUGAUGACCGCGUCAAAAAAGGUGUGUCACGUCAUUCGAUUUCGCAUCCUUUUCCACUUCCUCUUUCUCUCUCUUGCUACAGGGACCGGUAAAGGGGAUACUCCGAAAGGGAUCCUUCUCCGCAAAGGAAGCGGGCCCCGAGCCCCCCUACUGAUCAGAGGUUCGAAGGCUGGCCCCUCGGAAGGGUUCAACAGCCGCCUCAGAGCACUCGGGCUCCGCGCCCACUACUGGUCAGAGGUUCGAAGGCUGACCCCUCAGAAGGGUUCAACGGCCGCCUCAGGCCACUCGGGCUCCGCGCCCACUACUGAUCAGGGGUUCGUAGGCUGGCCCCCGAAGGGUUCGACAGCCGCCUCAGAGCACGCAGAGCGAGGGAUGACCCUGGGUACGUUCGAUACAUAACCAAGGCUCGGGCUACGCUCCCGAGGUACCCUAGGACAUUUCCGAGACCGACGGGAACGAUUUUGUAACGGAAUCCCACCAGAGGGAGGCAUCGAGCCCUCGGACCCCGUCAAAAGUGGACCGGGUCCGGCGAAUCACCCGCAGGUACUUUUGGAGCGCGCCUCCGGGCCACUAGCCGACCCCUAACGAAUGGGGCACGGGCGUCCACUCGGAUUACCCGUUAGCAACUCGCUGGAGACACCAUGUUCGGCGCCCUCCGAGGGCAACAUGGUGCUUUCCCCCUCUCCUCCUUGCGGAAAGGCGACGCAGGGGCGUAUGAAAAAGCCGAGUUUGUCCUUGACCGUCCUCUCGCUCUGUGCGGGAGGCUCGGGGGCUGCUCUCGCAAACCCGGCUCCGGCCAAACCGUUGACAACGUCAACAUACCAGCCCGAGAACUUGGGACUCAACUAUGCACCCGAGCUACGGCUAGUUCGCAUGAGGGAAGAACCAGACCGACCGAAGCAUCACGAAACGCGCUAAGACCUCGAAGGAGUCAAACCACUCCUCCGAGGCCUCGGGGGCUACACCCGGCGGGUGCGCUCGCGCGCACCCACCGGAACGAAAUGCAACCGAGAAAGGCCGGUCCCCUUGCAAAAAAGUGCGACAAAAGCCUCCAAGCGAGUAUCAACACUCCCUUCGAGGCUCGGGGGCUACUGUUGGGGACCAUAAUUAGGGGUACCCCCAAGACUCCUAAUCUCAGCUGGUAACCCCCAUCAGCACAAAGCUGCAAAGGACUGAUCACUACGACAGCUACAGGCAUUUUCGGCGGCCAAGCCGCCGAAAAUGAGCCCUUUACCGCCGAAAAUAAGCUAUUUUCGGCGGCGUCUGGCCCCCAAAAAAAUCCGGCCGAAAAUAAGGCUUUAUUUUCGGCGGCCAGGACCUGGCCGCCGAAAAUAAACUGUUAUUUUCGGCGGCCACGUAGUCAGCCGCCGGAAAUUAAUACUGCCGAAAAUAAUAUACCUAUUUUCGGCGGCCAGGGAGGCCGCCGAAAAUUACUAAUUUCAGAGCAAAAAAAUUGAAAAAUGCGAAAAAUAACAGAAUUUCAUACAAAAUUCAUACAAUACCAGAAAUUUCAUACAAUAACAGAAAAUUCAUACUUGAGUUCACAACAUAAAACUUGAGUCCAUACAAAUAUAAAGUCCACAAAUAGUCCAUACAAACAUAAAAUCCACAAAUAGUUCAUUACAACACAGUGCGUCACAAAGCUAACUUAAUCACACAUUGGGGUCGUUGGAGUUGUGUCCACUACCUCCAGAAGCCAAGAACUGGUUGACGAAGUCGUGUAACGGGUUUGGAUCCUAAAGAAAAAAAAGACAUUAAUAACGACAUUGGUUACAUGUAUAACGACUAUUCAAACAAAUUGUUUCUCAAACUAACCUCUCCUGCAUAAGCUCCCUCCCCUGCAUAAGCUCCUCCUGGUGCUGGUAUGACCGGUGGUGGCGUGUUGUGGCCCAUGACCCCGGAUCCCUACAAAAUCAAGUUUAGUAAAGAUUUGAAAUUAGGUUGAUACAAACGACAAGUCUUAACUAAAUUGAAGCACCUGAGGUGGAGGUGGUGGAGCAUGUAAUCCCCACUGAGGCAUCGGCGGCUGAAACUGAGGGAAAACAAAUGGCUGCUGUUGUGCCUGCUGUGGAAACCAAGACUGUUGCAAAUAUAAUAUAUUAGUUAUAGAACCAAUAUCGAGCGUGUUGAGAAUAAAUAAGACACUCACGUUCAUUGCUUGUUGCGCCUGUGUGUUGUAAGCAGCCAUGUACUCUGAUUGCUGUUGGAGAAAUGCCAUUUGUUGUUGCCGCAGCUCUUCACGAAACUUUUCUUGCUGCUCCCUCAUAGCUUCCUCCAUGCUAGAUACAAAGCGGCGACUACGGCUGCUACUACCACAGCCCGCCUGCGACGAAGAGCCGCCACGAGAACGCAACUCCGUCGAAUCGAUAACACCGGUAAACAUAGAAUAUCUUGAAAAACAAGAAAAUUAGCUAUUCGGUCGUAGUUCCAACAUUAUUGAAAACAAUUCACAAGUUCAUACCGUCCAUGCGCCUUGCCUCCAAGUGAAUGCACAACUUCAUGCGCCUUGCCAUGAGCCGAGUCACAAAAGCGAGUAUACUCACAUCUGUGUGUUCAUGUAACGACUCUUCAGAGGCUUUUAGUAGUUUAAAAAAUCUGGAAACCUCUGGUGUGGCAGGAUCCUCGGAGCUUAGGUUGAAUUCUGGACGUAGCGAAUCUAGCAUCUCAUGCAUCGCAUCAUCGCCAGCCCAAUCAUUGUUCUCCUCCUCUUCUACAUUCCGGUUGGGUACUACCUCACCAUGAUGUUCCCACACCUCAUAUCCGGGCAUAAAUCCAAAUUGACAAAGAUCUAGGCUAACUCUUUCCUUAUUAAGAAAUAUACUAUUUUCGUGCCGCCUACAAGGGCAUCUGACAAUGCCGGUUAAGGACAAGGCGAAUACGUGGUCCACAAAAUCUUUGGUCUUGGCUACCCACUCAUCAGAAUGACGUCCAUUCCUACUCCAGCCAUUGUACAUCCAUGCACGGUCUUCAGCCAUGCCUGAGACUGUUAAACCGAACCAUAUCGUGAAACCAUUAUUCAAUUUCAUCAAGUGUAUCGGUCCUAUAUGUAUAGGCAAGGAUAGAUUCUAAACCACAGCAAGCUACCAGGACCCACAAUAAUUUUGGCAGCAUAACCUCGCUGCCACUAAACAAUAUAAGAAUGAACCACAUAUAACACAUAUAACACAUAUACCACAUAUGCCUUUACUAAACCAAAUAUACCACAUAUAAAAUAUGUCUCGAACUAAACAAUAAUACUAAUCACACGCACUAAUCAACAAACACAUAUACCACUAAUACAUUCCACAUAUACCACAUAUGCCUUCCCUAAACAUAUAACACAUAUACAAACGCACUAAUCAAUAAUAUUAAUCAAACGCACAAAUCAACAAACACAAUUACAAAAAUAUAUUAAUUUCGGUGGCAAUUAAAUAAAAGGCCGCCGAAAAUACAAAAUAAAAUACGCAAAAUAAAAUACCUUAAUGAAGGCGAGGUUGACGGGAGCCAAGGUCGAUGGAACGGGGCACAACGCGGCUGGUGGGGCGUCGAGCUUGGUGGCGGCACGUCGGCGGCACGGGCGAGCGGCGCUGCGGGUGCGUCGGGCGUGACGUGGUGGGCCGGGGGGGGGGCGCUGCGGGGGCGUGGGGCGGCGCAGCGGGCCGUGGGCUGCGCUGCGGGGGCGGCGCGACAGGCUGCACGACGGGGUGGCGUUGUUGGGCGGCGCUGCCGGGGCGGCGCGGCGAGGUGCGGCGUGGCGGGGGCGGCGCGGUUGGGCGGUGCUGCGGGGGCGGCGCGGCGGGGCGAGGUGCGGCGAGGCGAGGGGCGGCGCGAGCGACGGCGAGCGGCGGCGUGUUGAGAGAGAAGAGAGAAGAGAGAAGAAACAGAACAGAGAAGGAGCCGACAGUUUUUAAAAACCUAAUUUUCGGCGGCCAGGGAUCAGGCCGCCGAAAAUAGGCUUAUUUUCGGCGGCUGUGUCAGUGGCCGCCGAAAAUAGGCCUAUUUUCGGUGGCUGUGUCAGACCGCCGAAAAUAAGGUGGUAUUUUCGGCGGCCCACCUCCGGCCGCCGAAAAUAAGGUGGGCCGCCGAAAAUGUUGCAUAGUGUUGUUGUGGAUGGGCGCGAUUAAGGUCAAGGCUCAGUCCACUUAAGGGACACGAUCUCGCCUCGCCCGUGCCCAGCCUCGGGCAAAGGCAGCCGACCCCGGAGGAUUCACGUCUCGCCCGUGGGCCCCCUCAAGCAACGGACACACCUUCGGCUCGCCCGAGGCCCAGUCUUCGCAGAGAAGCAACCUUGGCCAGAUCUCCACGCCAACCGACCAUAUCGCAGGAGCAUUUAAUGCAAGGAUCACCCGAUACCUUAUCCUGACGCGCGCUCUUCAGUCGAUAGAGCCGAAGUGACCGCAGUCACUUCGCCGCUCCACUAACCGACCUGACAAGAAAACAGCGCCGCCUGCGUCACUCCGACUGCUGUGCCACUCGACAGAGUGAGGCUGACAGCAGCUAAGUCCAGCCUCGGGCGCCAUAGGAAGCUCCGCCUCGCCCGACCCCAGGGCUCGGGCUCAACCUCGACGAUGGACGACGAACUCCGCCUCGCCCGACCCCAGGGCUCGGACACGGCCUCGGCCUCGGAAGACGGUCUCCGCCUCGCCCGACCCCAGGGCUCGGGCUCAACCUCGAUGCUGGACGACGGACUCCGCCUCGCCCGACACAGGGCUCGGACUCAGCCUCAGCCUCGGAAGACGGUCUCCGCCUCGCCCGACCCAGGGCUCGGACUCAACCUCGACCUCGGAAGACGGACUCCGCCUCGCCCGACCCCAGGGCUCGGACUCAGCCUCGACCUCGGAAGACGGACACGACCUCGACCUCGGAGGAGCCGCCACCUCGCCCAAACUCGGGUCCGGACCGGCCACGUCGCCAGGGGGGCCAUCAUUACCCUACCCCUAGCUAGCUCAGGCUACGGGGAACAAGACCGGCGUCCCAUCUGGCUCGCCCCAGUAAACAAAUAAUGAUGGCGCUCCGCGUGCUCCAUGACGACGGCGGCUCUCAGCCCCUUACGGAAGCAAGGAGACGUCAGCAAGGAUUCGACAGCCCCGACAGCUGUCCUUCCGCAGGGCUCCAGCUCUCCUCCGACGGCCACGCCAUCACAUGAACAGGGUGCCAAAACCUCUCCGACUGCCACGACGGCAUGUACUUAGGGCUCUAGCUCCUCUCUGCUAGACACGUUAGCACACUGCUACACCCCCUAUUGUACACCUGGACUCUCUCCUUACGCCUAUAAAUGGAAGGUCCAGGGCUCUCGUAUGAGAAGGUUGGCCGCGCGGGAGAACGGGCCGGCGCAUAAGGCUCUCGCUCUCUCCCACGCGAACACUUGUAACCCCCUACUGCAAGCGCAUCCAUCCGCCCUGGGCGCAGGACAACACGAAGGCCGCGGGUUCCCCUUUACUGUUCUCCCCUUUUGUGUCCCGUCUCGCGCCGACCCAUCUGGGUUGGGACACGCAGCGACAAUUUUCUCGUCUGUCUAGGGAGCCCCGGGGUCGAAACGCCGACAGUAUGUAAAAGAUGGUGUUACAUCGGGUAUCUACAGAAUUUUUUCCGUUGUAGAUGGCUUUAAAGAGCUCUUCUGGUCGCGUCGUGUUCGAGAAGAAAUAAAACAUCAGGCAGUUGGAUACAGGUGUGGCACAUGCGUAAGCCUGAACACGGGACAGAAGCCCUCAGAAUCAGCUUAUAAUAAUAUAUAGAAAUCCAUUUCUAUUCCAAGCUUCAAAUAUAUAGCUCCACACUAAAGCAUCAUCAUGUACAUUGAGUCUAUGGCUGUAACAGCUAGCUAGUAAUAGUCACCGGCAAUUAGUACAGUAGCGAACAUAUAAGCACUGCUGCACGAGCUACAAGCGGUGGUGGGCGCAGGGGGCACUGCCGUCGUCGAAGUUCUGGUAGUAGCUAUGCAGGUCAUACCCGAACCUCACCGCGGUUCGCCUCGGCCGCGCUGCGCGUCUUCUCCAAGAGCGACUCAACCUCGACAGCAGCCGCUUCACCGCCGCAGCUGGCCGGCGGCCGCCGCUCCUGGCGUGGACGAGCCUCCCGCCCAAGCCGCUGCCCCCGGUGUACGGGCCUAGCAGAGACACCGCCGCCAUGAUCGUUCACUCAGUCGGUUCUCACAGGUCACGGACGCUCUUUGCCACUAACCAACUAGCUAGCUAGAUGCUCUGUCUGCUUCGAGCUGGAGUAGGUAGGUGAGGUCUAUCUGUGAAUCUGUGUGCUGCAGCUGUAGCUUCUGAAGAUACUGUGCAAAACGAAGCCUCCCAUGCGCAGCUUUAUAAGCUCGGAUGCUGGGAGCAUUCCGACACGCGUCGACCGAAGACGCCACUCGGACCCACCAGCAGCACGCACUCACGUACAUGGUGACGAGGCAAUCCACUACGGCGAUCGUUCGAAAGGUCCAAGCAGCUUCAUUUCAUGCAUGCUUUUGUAAGCCGCCGUCAUGCUCGUGCAGUCGAAAGAAUCAAAGAAAGACAACCGUCGACCACCAACAAUGGAAGCAUGUGUACUUGCUUUAGUGACG